GAAAAAUAAAAGUGUGAUGAUCAUCAUUUUUAGAGCAUUGUCCCAAGUGAGGAAAGGAUGAUGGAGACUUUGAUUCCCCCACAAGUCGGGAUGAGACUCCGAACGAAAAAAAAGAGGCCAUAAAAAAGGAGAAAGGCCCAAAUAAAAAAAUGAGAGAAAAAUAGAGAAGGGACAAUGUUACUAUCCUUUUACCACACUUGUGCUUCAAAAUAGCACCAUGAUCUUCAUGAUAGAGAGUCUCUCAUUCUGUCACUUUCAUAUACUAGUGGGAAUUUUUCAUUAUAGAACUUGUCUUGUAUAUUCCAAUGAUGGGCUUCCUCAAAAUGCCAUAGGUCUUCGGGAGCAAGCGAGUUGGAUGCACACCCACUUAGUUUCUUUUGUUGAGCUUUCAUAUACUUAUAGCUCUAGUGCAUCCGUUGCAUGGCAAUCCCUACUCACUCACAUUGAUAUCUAUUGAUGGGCAUCUCCAUAGCCCGUUGAUAUGCCUAGUUGAUGUGAGACUAUCUUCUCCCUUUUUGUCUUCUCCACAACCACCAUUCUAUUCCACGUAUAGUGCUAUAUCCAUGGCUCAAGCUCAUGUAUUGCAUGAAGAUCGAAAAAGUUUUGAAAAUGUCAAAAGUAUGAAACAAUUGCUUGGCUUGUCAUUGGUGUUGUGCAUGAUUUAAAUACUUUGUGUGGUGAAGAUAGAGCAUAGCCAGACUAUAUGAUUUUGUAGGGAUAGCUUUCUUUGGCCAUGUUAUUUUGAGAAGACAUAAUUACUUUGUUAGUAUGCUUGAAGUAUUAUUAUUUUUAUGUCAACAUGAACUCUUGUCUUGAAUUUUUUGAAUAUGAAUAUUCAUACCACGAUUAAGAAGAUUUACAUUGAAAUUAUGCCAAGUAGCACUCCACGUCAAAAAUUCUAUUUUUUAUCAUUUACCUACUCGAGGACGAGCAGGAAUUAAGCUUGGGGAUGCUUGAUACGUCUCCAACGUAUCUAUAAUUUUUGAUUGCUCCAUGCUAUAUUAUCUAAUGUUUUGGACUAUAUUGGGCUUUAUUAUCCACUUUGAUAUUAUUUUUGGGACUAACCUAUUAACCGGAGGCCCAGCCUAGAAUUGUUGUUUUUUGCCUGUUUUAGGGUUGUGAAGAAAAGGAAUAUCAAACGGAGUACAAACGGAAUGAAACCUUCGGGAACGUGAUUUUCUCACCGAAUACAACUCAGGAGACUUGGACCCUAUGUCAAGGCACGUAACAGGAGGCCACGGUGUAGGGGGGGCCCUACCNNNNNNNNNNNNNNNNNNNNNNNNNNNNNNNNNNNNNNNNNNNNNNNNNNNNNNNNNNNNNNNNNNNNNNNNNNNNNNNNNNNNNNNNNNNNNNNNNNNNNNNNNNNNNNNNNNNNNNNNNNNNNNNNNNNNNNNNNNNNNNNNNNNNNNNNNNNNNNNNNNNNNNNNNNNNNNNNNNNNNNNNNNNNNNNNNNNNNNNNNNNNNNNNNNNNNNNNNNNNNNNNNNNNNNNNNNNNNNNNNNNNNNNNNNNNNNNNNNNNNNNNNNNNNNNNNNNNNNNNNNNNNNNNNNNNNNNNNNNNNNNNNNNNNNNNNNNNNNNNNNNUCCUCCUAUAUAUACCCACGUACCCCCAAAUGAUCAAAUACGGAGCCAAAAACCUAAUUCCACCACCGCAACUUUCUGUAUCCACGAGAUCCCAUCUUGGGGCCUGUUCUGGAGCUCUGCCGUAGGGGGCAUCGAUCACGGAGGGCUUCUACAUCAUCAUCCAAGCCCCUCCGAUGAAGUGUGAGUAGUUUACUUCAGACCUACGGGUCCAUAGCUAGUAGCUAGAUGGCUUCUUCUCUCUUUUUCGAUCUCAAUACAAUGUUCUCCCCCUCUCUCGUGAAGAUCUAUUCGAUGUAAUCUUCUUUUUGCGGUGUGUUUGUUGAGACCGAUGAAUUGUGGGUUUAUGAUCAAGUCUAUCUAUGAAUAAUAUUUGAAUCUUCUCUGAAUUCUUUUAUGUAUGAUUGGUUAUCUUUGCAAGUCUCUUCGAAUUAUCAGUUUGGUUUGGCCUACUAGAUUGGUUGUUCUUGCCAUGGGAGAAAUGCUUAGCUUUGGGUUCGAUCUUGCGGUGUCCUUUCCCAGUGACAGAAGGGAUAGCAAGGCAUGUAUUGUAUCGUUGCCAUCGAGGAUAACAAGAUGGGUUUUUUAUCAUAUUGCAUGAAACUAUCCCUCUACAUCAUGUCAUCUUGCUUAAGGCGUUACUCUGUUUUUAACUUAAUACUCUAGAUGCAUGAUGGAUAGCGGUCGAUGAGUGGAGUAAUAGUAGUAGAUGCAGGCAGGAGUCGGUCUACUUGUCUCGGACAUGAUGCCUAUAUACAUGAUCAUACCUAGAUAUUCUCAUAACUAUGCUCAAUUCUGUCAAUUGCUCAACAGUAAUUUGUUCACCCACCGUAGAAUACAUAUGCUCUUGAGAGAAGCCACUAGUGAAACCUAUGGCCCCCGGGUCUCUUUCUCAUCAUAUCAAUCUCCAUCACUUUAUUAUUGCUUUGCUUUUACUUUGCUUUUACUUUUUGCUUUGCAUCUCUAUACCAAAAAUACCAAAAAUAUUAUUUAUCAUCUCUAUCAAAUCUCACUUUCGUAAGUAACCGUGAAGGGAUUGAAAAACCCUAAGCGCGUUGGUUGCAUUGAGCAAUUGUUUUUCUGUCGGUAUGAGGGACUCGAGCGUAGCCUCCUACUGCAUUGAUACCUUGGUUCUCAAAAACUGAGGGAAAUACUUAUGCUACUUUGCUGCAUCGAUCAUCCCUUCCUCUUCAGGGAAAUCCAACGCAGUGCUCAAGAGGUAGCAAUAUCCUACUGAUUUUCUUGUUCUUGGUUCCCCACAAAUUGACUUCUCUCCCAUUAUAUUUGGUAGACCCUUCUUGAAUACUGUUAAUGCUAAGAUAGACUGCAAAAAGGAUAUUGUUACUGUUGGUUUAGGGGAUAUGUCUCAUGAUUUUAAUUUUGCUAAAUUUCUUAGACAACCCCAUGAUAAAUAAUUGCCUAGUAAAGAUGAAAUUAUUGGUCUUGCUUCUAUUGUUGUGCCUCCUAAUGAUCCUUUAGAACAAUAUUUUCUAGACCAUGAAAAUGAUAUGUUUAUGAAUGAAAGAAGGGAAAUAGAUGAAGUAUUCUUUAAACAGGGACCUAUUUUGAAACACAACUUGCCUGUUGAAAUUCUAGGGGAUCCUCCUCCAUCCAAGGGUGAUCCCGUGUUUGAUCUUAAACCAUUACCUGAUACUCUUAAAUAUGCUUAUCUUGAUGAAAAUUAGAUAUAUCAUGUUAUUAUUAGUGCUAACCUAUCAGAGCAGGAAGAAGAGAAAUUAUUGAAAACUCUGAAGAAGCAUCGUGCUGCUAUUGGAUAUACUCUUGAUGAUCUUAAGGGCAUUAGUCCCACUCUAUGCCAACACAAAAUAAAAUUGGAGGAAGACGCUAAACCGGUUGUUGAUCACCAACGACGAUUAAAUCCUAGAUGAAAGAAGUGGUAAGAAAUGAAAUACUAAAGCUUCUGGAGGCAUGUACAAUUUAUCAUGUUGCUGAUAGUCCGUGGGUAAGUCCUAUCCAUUGUGUCCCUAAGAAGGGAGGUAUUACUAUUGUUCCUAAUGAUAAAGAUGAAUUGAUCCCACAAAGAAUUGUUACAGGUUACAGAAUGGUAAUUGAUUUCCGCAAAUUAAAUAAAGCUACUAGAAAGGAUCAUUACCCUUUACCUUUUAUUGAUCAAAUGCUAGAAAGAUUAUCCAAACAUACACAUUUUUGCUUUCUAGACAGUUAUUCUGGUUUCUCUCAAAUACCUGUGUCGAAAGAGGAUCAGGGAAAGACCACUUUUACUUGCCCUUUCGGUACCUUUUCUUGUAGGCGUAUGCCUUUUGGUUUAUGUAAUGCACCUGCUACCUUUCUUCUCUGACUUUUGUGAAAUAUUGUUGAGGUUUUCAUGGAUGAUUUCUCCGUGUAUGGAACUUCUUUUGAUGAUUGCCUAAGCAACCUUUAUCGAGUUUUGCAGAGAUGUAAAGAAACUAAUCUUGUCUUGAAUUGGGAAAAGUGCCACUUUAUGGUCAAUGAAGGUAUUGUCUUGGGGCAUAAAAUUUCUGAAAGAGGGAUUGAAGUUGAUAAAGCUAAAGUUCAUGCUAUUGAAAAGAUGUCGUGUCCUAAGGACAUUAAAGGUAUAAGAAGUUUCCUUGGUCAUGCCAGUUUUUAUAGGAGGUUCAUUAAAGACUUCUCAAAAAUUUCUAGGCCUCUGACUAAUCUCUUACAAAAAUAUGUUCCUUUUGUCUUUCAUGAUGAUUGUGUAGAAGAAUUUGAAAUACUUAAGCCUUCAUUUUUGCACCUAUUGUUCAGCCACCUGAUUGGAAUUUACCCUUUGAAAUUAUGUGUGAUGCUAGUGAUUAUGAUGUAGGUGUUGUUCUAGGACAGAGAGUUGAUAAGAAAUUAAAUGUUAUCCAAUAUGCUAGUAAAACUCUAGACAGUGCCUGCUACCUCUUGAGCACUGCGUUGGUUUUCCCUUGAAGAGGAAAGGGUGAUGCAGUAAAGUAGCAUAAGUAUUUCCCUCAGUCUUUGAGAACCAAGGUAUCAAUCCAGUAGGAGAUCACGCUCAAGUCCCGCACCUACACAAACAAAUAAGAACAUCGCAACCAACACGAUAAAGGGGUUGUCAAUCCCUUCAUGGUCACUUAUGAGAGUGAGAUCUGAUAGAUAUGAUAAGAUAAUAUUUUUGGUAUUUUUAUGAUAAAGAGAAAUAAAGAUGCAAAGUACAAUAAACGGCAAUAGAAAUAGCUAAGUGUUGAAAGAUUAAUAUGAUGGAAGAUAGACCCGGGGGCCAUAGGUUUCACUAGUGGCUUCUCUCAAGAGCAUAAGUAUUACGGUGGCUAAACGAAUUAUUGUCGAGCAAUUGAUAGAAUUGAGCAUAGUUAUGAGAAUAUCUAGGUAUGAUCGUGUACAUAGGCAUCACGUCUGUGACAAGUACACCGAAACGAUUCUGCAUCUACUACUAUUACUCCACACAUCGACCGUUAUCCAGCAUGCGUCUAGAGUAUUAAGUUCAUAAGAAUAGAGUAACACCUUAAGCAAGAUGACAUGAUGUAGAGGGAUAAACUGAUGCAAUAUGAUAUAAACCCCAUCUUUUUAUCCUUGAUGGCAACAAUACAAUACGUGUCGUUUCCCUUUCUGUCACUGGGAUCGAGCACCGCAAGAUUGAACCCAAAGAUAAGCACUUCUCCCAUUGCAAGAAAGAUCAAUCUAGUAGGCCAAACCAAACUGAUAAUUCGAAGAGUCUUGCAAAGAUAAAACCAAUCAUACAUAAAAGAAUUCAGAGAAGAUUCAAAUAUUGUUCAUAGAUAAACUUGAUCAUAAACCCACAAUUCAUCGAAUCUCGACAAACACACCACAAAAGAAGAUUACAUCAAAUAGAUCUCCAAGAAGAUCGAGGAGAACUUUGUAUUGAGAUUCAAAGACAGAGAAGAAGCCAUCUAGCUAAUAACUGUGGACCCAGAGGUCUAAACUAAACUACUCACACAUCACUGAAGAGGCCAUGGAGUUGAUGUAGAGGCCCUCCGUGAUCAAUACCCCCUCCGGCGGAGCUCCGGAAAAGGCCCCAAGAUGGGAUCUCUCGGGUACAAAAGGUUGCGUUGGUGCAAUUAGGUUUUCGUGGUGCUCGUGGAUGUUUGGGGGGUACGUGGACUUAUAUAGGAGGAAGAAGUAGGUCGGUGGAGCAACGAGGGGCCCACGAGGGUGGAGGGCACGCCUAGGGGGUAGGCACGCCCCCCUGCCUCAUGGCCUCCUCGAUUGUUUCUUGAUGCCCACUCCAAGUCUCCUGGAUCACGUUUGUUGAGAAAAUCACAUUCGCAAAGGUUUCAUUCCAUUCGGACUUCGUUUGAUAUUCCUUUUUGCGAAACACUGAAAUAGGCAAAAACAGCAAUUUGGGAUGGGCCUCCGGUUAAUAGGUUAGUCCCAAAAAUGAUAUAAAAGUGUUAACACCCAAAAACCUAUUAAUUUUGCAAAAGACUGUUAAAAGUCCCAAAAAUCAGAUCUAGAAAGUGAGUAUGAUGGAAAGGAAAAUUGUGCCAAAGUGUUAGAAGAAGAAUGCAUUAAAAUGUUUGGCACUAAAUAUUUGAAUGAUGAGCAUGAUUGCAAUGUUGUUAGUAUGAAUUCCUUGAAUAUCCAUAAUGCUAAUGAUAUGCAAAGCCACAAGCUUGGGGAAGCUAUGUUUGAUGAAGAUGAUAUUUUUUGUUCCCCAAGUUUUGAUGAGAAAAUUUAUUAUGAUGAAAGCAUGUCUCCUAUUUAUGAUGAUUAUAUUGAUGAAAGUGGAUUUGAAGAGGUCAUGACUUUAUUUUGUGAUGAAUCCACUAUUCCGGAAGAGGUUCCAAUUGAUUAUGAGAACAAAGUUGCUAUCUAUGAUGAUUAUUGUGAUGACUUGUAUGCUAUAAAGAAUAACGAUAUCCAUGAAACUUGUCACCAUGAUUUUAGUUUUAAAUUGGAUUAUGCCUCAUAUGAUAAUUAUUUUGUUGAGUUUGCUCCCACUCAAGGUUGUCAGAAUCGCAAUUUUGAAUCGGAUCGGAGCUCUGAUGGUAGAAUCGUAAAUCGUAGAAUCUUCACUACCAGGAUCGUAGAAACAUAGAUUUUAUGAACUAAAAUUGUAGAAUCAGAUGGGUAAGUUUGGAUCGUAAAGUUGUAGAAUCGUAUAACAGAAUCGUGAUUCUAACAACCUUGCUCCCACUAUUAUUCAUGAGAAGAAUCUUGCUUGUGUGGAGAGUAAUAAAAUUUAUAUGCUUGUAGAUCAUGAAAGAAUGCUUUAGGUGCUAGUUAUAUUGUUGAAUUCAUUCAUGAUGCUACUGAAAAUUAUUAUGAGGGAGGAAUAUAUGCUUGUAGGAAUUGCAAUAAUAUCAAGUUUCCUCUCUAUGUGCUUAAAGUUUUGAAGUUAUGCUUGUUUUACCUUCCUAUGCUAGUUGAUUAUUGUUCCCAUAAGUUGUUUGCUCACAAAAUCCCUACGCAUAGGAAGUGGGUUAGACUUAAAUGUGCUAGUCAUAGUAUUCUUGGUGCUCUCUUUAUGUUUAAAUUCUUAUCUUUUAUGUGAGCAUCAUUGAAAUCAUCAUGCCUAGCUAGGGGCGUUAAAUGAUAGCGCUUGUUGGGAGGCAACCCAAUUUUAUAUUUGUUCCUUGCUUUUUGUUCCUGUUUAGUAUUAAAUAAUUCAUCUAGACUCUGUUUAGAUGUGGUUUUAUGUUUUAAUUAGUGUUUGUGCCAAGUAGAACCUUUCGUAAGACUUGGGGAAAGUCUUUGCGAUCAUGCUGUAAAAAAUAGAAACUUUAGAGCUCACGAGAUUUGCUGCCAUUUGUUAUUGAAGAGUGAUAUUUAGUUAAUUCUUUUUGCAGAUGAUUAAUAGAUAAACUCCUCAUGUCCAGAAAUUUAUUUGAGAAUUUUAUGAGUUCCAGAAGUAUACGUUUGAUCCAGAUUACUACAGACUGUUCUGUUUUUGACAUAUUCUGUUUUCGAUGUGUUGUUUGCUUAUUUUGAUGAAUCUAUGAGUAGUAUCGGAGGGUAUGAACCAUGGAUAAGUUGGAAUACAGUAGAUAUUACACCAAUAUGAAUUUAUAAUGAGUUCACAAUAGUACAUAAGUGGUAAUUUAUUUUCUUAUACUAACGGAGCUUACGAGUUUACUGUUAAGUUUUGUGUUGUGAAGUUUUCAAGUUUUUGGUAAAGAUUCGAUGGACUAUAGAAUAAGGAGUGGCAAGAGCAUAAGCUUGGGGAUGCCCAAGGCACCCCAAGGCAAUAUUCAAGGACAACCAAGAGACUAAGCUUGGGGAUGCCCCGGAAGGCAUGAGGUGUUAUUUGAUUGUCUUCCUUAUGAGUGACAGUCGGGGACGAGCGAUGGUCUUUGCCUACCAAUCUAUCCCCCUAGGAUGUCACAUCCCUAGUUCUAGUAUGCUCUGAGAUAGCUAGUCAUGUGUUGCAUCAUGUUUAAAUUCUUAUGAAUUUGAAUUGGGGACUGUUGAAACCCUAGCACAGAUGAAUCCAACUAGGUUCAAAUAAAAAAAUAUCAUUUUCAAUUAUCCCAAAAUUCCUUUGGAAAAGUUCAUCAUUUUUGAAUUGGUCUAGAACCUCUGCCAAAAAAUGGUGCACAUUUUCCUAGGUCACUUUGGAUUUUUGAAUGAAUUCAUAAAGUAUUUGAAUUUGGGAAUUUAAUUGCUAUAAAUAAUUAAAAUGCCCAAGUAAUUCUAAAAGUGGUUGAGGGCUAUUGGAAAUAUUUUCAAAAGUGCCCACAAUUAUUUUCAGGGUUUUUGAAAAUGCCUUAGCAUUUUAUUUAAGUAAAAAACAAUUACAGAAAAAUAGAAAAGAGAACAGAAAAAUAAAAUAGAACACAAACCUACCUGGCCUUACCUGAGAGGCCCAGCAGCAGCCAGCCCACCAGAGCCCAGCUGCCAGUCGUCGUCCUCCUUGCGCCAGAAGGACGCAGGCGCGUGCCCGCCGCGCGUGGCCACACGCCGGCCACCUCCAGGCUGCCUGCCUGUGCGAUGACCCCCCUAGAGACGCCACGCACCCCCCAGGCCCUCUCACUCCUCCCCCCGUACUCAUCCCCUCCCCUGUCCCUCUCGCGCGCACCCACCCGAGCGCAGCCGUCGCCGCCGCUCAUUCCUGCCGUGCCCUGAGCCUCCCCCUCACCUCUCCGACAUGCCCAGGGGAUCCGCCACCGUCGCCUACGCCCCCCUGUUGACUCACGCGACUCCAAAUGCCGCCAAACGCCGUCUUCGCCAUCGUCUUCAACCUCAGGCACCCGAGCACGUCUUCGGUCGAUUCGGCGCCGCCAGGACCUCCCCGAGCUCGCUGACCCCCUCUUCGGCAUCUCCGUGAGCCCCUGCUCCCAACCCCUCUCUCCCUGCCGUCAUUUUCGCCCCCUUGCCGCAUCAACCACCGGAGCCGAGCGCUCCCCGCUGCCGGCCAUGUCGUCGCCGCGGUUGCAACACCCGCACGUCGCACUAGAGCACGUAGGCGUGCUCAGCGCUUCCUCGGGAAGCGGCAGACCCCACCAGUUCGUCUCGAAACGCUCCGUAGCGCCAAACCCGCCAUUCCCGUAGCUCCAGCCACCGCCAUGGUUGCCGUGGCCAUCGUCUCCGGCCACCCCGCAGCCUCCCGCGUGAUCCCCUGGAUGCGCGCGAGGAUGGGUAUCCCUCUGGUGCCUCCAGCGUGUUGAGCCGACCCCUGUAGUGCCGUCCCGGGCAACUCCACCGUCGGCUUUGGUCGCCGGCGUCCAACUCCGGUGGCUGGUGACAUGGCACCGUCAUUAGCGGCUAACUAACCCCCUAGAGUCACUGACAUAUGGGCCCAGGCCUUAACUAAACUAUAUUAGGUUUAGUUUAAUUUUAAUUAACCAUGUUAGUUAACUGUGUCACUGACGUGUGGACCCCACACGUCAGGUUUGACCUGGACCGAGCCGUUGACCUGCUGACGUCACUGUGAGGUCAUGCUGACGCAAUAAUUCCUUUCUGGAAUUUAAAUAAAUCUUAAAUGAUUUAUUAUUUUCAGAAAUUACCCCCAAACUUCUAAAAAUCAUAGAAAUUCAACCGUAACUCCAAAUGAAAAGAUUUAUAUAUGAAAAAUUAUCAGAAAAAUUCAAGGAAUCCAUCUGUACCAUUUUCAUGCAUGUUUGAACAAUUUUUGUCCUCUGUUUUGGACAAAACAAAUAAAGGGCAUUUAAAUAAUCAUAUAUGGAGUUGGAAUUUGAAUCAUGUAUUCAAACCAACUUCAUUUAAAUCAUAACUAGAUGCAUUAGCUCAAAUCACAGCAUAUUGCCAUGUCAUGAUCAUGCAUCAUAUUGUCGCAUAUGCAUUGAUUGUGUUCUUCUCUAUUGCCGGUGUUUGUCCUCCUUCGGUAGACGAUGUUCCGACGAUGUGAUCGAUGACACCGAUGAAGAACUAUACUAUCUUCAGAAGUGCCAGGCAAGCAAAACCCCCUUGCUCAUUCCGAUACAAUCCCACUCUCUCGCUCCUGCUCUCUUUUACUGCAUUAGGACAACAACGAUUCAUCUUUUACUUGCUGCGGUAGUUGAACCCCUUAUCCUCUGCAUGACCUGUCAUUGCCACAGUAAAUAGAUGAAACCCACUAGCAUGAGUAGGAGUUGUUUGAGCCCUGAUGUUCCUACUCAUUCAUGCUUGUUUGUCAUGCCUGCUAUUGCAUAGAGUCGUGUCAGGUCUGGUUCAUCGGGGAUGAAUCGGAGGUGUGUAAACAUGUCCUACGGUGUGUGAGCUAAGUGUGUGAACAUGAUUUGGUAAAGGUAGCGGUGAGAGGCCGUGUAGGAGUACAUGGUGGGUUGUCUCACUGAAACCGUCCUCAGGAACUGAGUUCUGUGUUUGUGAUCCAUGAAACAGCUACUACCACACAUUGGGCCCUGAAAUAUGACCCCGCUCGACUUAUUGACCCCUCUCGUCCUCUGUCCAGGAGUUGCAACUAGUUUCUGGUGUUUGUAGGUUAUGUGUUGGCGGCCGUGCGUAGCGCUGACCCUAGGGGUGGGCUAUGAUGCGGUAGAUACACUGUGGCCGGGUAUGUUGGGCGCCCGUUUGGUGUCUCUGGACCCUGUACAUAUCGUUUGGGGCCGUUGAGGACACCCCGGCCGGAUUUCCUUGCGGAUGGAACCCGAAUAGGCGAUAAACCUGGACUAGAGACUUGUGUGGUUAGUCAGGUCGUGGUCUACACCCACGUCGGCUUUCGCUUGAAGUCUACCGAGCACAUGUCAUGUGCAUACGCUAAGUGGUGGAAACAUGUGUGAUGAAGUACACCCCUGCAGGGUUAUAAAUGAUCUAUUCGAAUAGCCGUAUCCACGGUAAAGGACUUCUGGGUUGCCUAUAACAGUUCAUAGACAAGUGAAAGUGGAUACUCUAAAACUCGCAAGAUAAGUGUGAGUGCUAUGGAUGGCCUUCUCGUAGGGGAGACGGGAGCGGAUCCAUAGUGGUGUAUUGAAUGGUGAAUAUGUGGACUCGUGUGCGCCACCUCAAAAAAGUUACUUGCAGUCGUAGUUUAAGAUAGCCACCGAGUCAAAGCUGGCUUGCUGCAGUUAAACUCCACCGCCCCUCUUUGUUGAUACCGAUGCAUAUGUAGCUAGUUCUGAUGUAAGUCUUGCUGAGUACUUUUGUACUCACGUUUGCUUAAUUUAUGUUUUGCAGAGAGACUUCAGUCUCGCUAGUAGUUUUGCGUGGACUUCGACGUUUAGCUUGAUACCUCAGCUACGAUCUUGUGCCCUCGGCAGGAUCUGGUAGUUAGUCAGGCUUCUUAGCCUUUUUCAUUUGUAGAUGUCUGUACUCAGACAUGUUAAGCUUCCGCAUGUGCUUUGAUUUGUAUGCUAUGAUUGUUGGGUCAUGAGACUCAUGUUUGUAAUUUCUCGCUCCUCGGAGCCUAAUGAAUAAAUACUUGAGUUGUAGAGUUAUGUUGUGAUGUCAUGUUGUAUUUACACAUAUUGAGCAUAUUGUGUGUAUGAUUGAAAUGCUUGGUAUGUGUGGGAUCCGACAAUCUAGUUGUUUAUCCUUGGCAGCCUCUCUUAUGGGGAAAUGUAGUCUAGUGCUUCCAUGAGCCAUAGUAGUCCGCCAUAGCCCGGUUCACCGGAGUCCUGUUAGCCCAGCACUACUGCUCAGGACACUUGACUGGCCGGCAUGUGUUUCACUUCAUUCCUGUGUCUGUCCCUUCGGGGAAAUGUCACGCAGUGACAUCCGGAGUCCUUCCUAGCCUGCUACAGCCCGGGUUCCCGGAGUCCUGUUAGCCUAGUGCUACGGCCUAGAUUCACACGCUACUGACCAACAUGCUCGAUGUGAUUCAUGUAUGCCUGUCCCCAUAGGUUAGUGCCGCUUUGGGUUCACGACUAGCCAUGUCGGCCCGAGUUCACUGUCAUAUGGAUGCUAGCGACACUAUCAUAUACGUGAGCCAAAAGGCGCAAACGGUCCCGGGCCAUGGUAAGGCGACACCCGUGGGAAUACCGUGCGUGAGGCCGCAAAGUGAUAUGAGGUGUUACCGGCUAGAUCGAUGUGACUUGGAGUCGGGGUCCUGACAUAGGAGCAUGCGCGUAGUGCUUGGUUUUUGAUGACUUGUAGAUUUUUGUAAUAAGUAUGUGAGUUCUUUAUGACUAAUGUUGAGUCCAUGGAUUAUACGCACACUCACCCUUCCAUCAUUGCUAGCCUCUUCGGUACCAUGCAUUGCCCUUUCUCACAUUGAGAGUUGGUGCAAACUUCACCGGUGCAUCCAAACCCCGUGAUAUGAUACGCUCUUUCACACAUAAACCUCCUUAUAUCUUCCUCAAAAUAGCCACCAUACCUACCUAUUAUGGCAUUUCCAUAGCCAUUCCGAGAUAUAUUGCCAUGCAACUUUCCACCAUUCCGUUUAUCAUGACACAUUCAUCAUUGUCAUAUUGCUUGGCAUGAUCAUGUAGUUGACAUAGUAUUUGUGGCAAAGCCACCGUUCAUAAUUAUUUCAUACAUGUCACUCUUGGUUCAUUGCAUAUCCCGGUACACCGCCGGAGGCACUCAUAUAGAGUCAUAUCUUGUUCUAAGUAUCGAGUUGUAAUUCUUGAGUUGUAAGUAAAUAGAAGUGUGAUGACCAUCAUUAAUAGAGCAUUGUCCUAAAAAAAGAGAGAAAGGCCAAAUAAAAAAUAUAAAGAAGGGACAAUGCUACUAUCCUUUUUCCACACUUGUGCUUCAAAGUAGCACCAUGAUCUUUAUGAUAGAGAGUCUCUUGUUUUGUCACUUUCAUAUACUAGUGGGAAUUUUUCAUUAUAGAACUUGUCUUGUAUAUUCCAACAAUGGGCCUCCUCAAGUGCCCUAGGUCUUUGUGAGCAAGCAAGUUGGAUGCACACCCACUUAGUAUCUUUUGUUGAGCUUUCAUACAUUUAUAGCUCUAGUGCAUCCGUUGCAUGGCAAUCCCUACUCCUUGCAUUGACAUCAAUUGAUGGGCAUCUUCCUAGCCCAUUGAUUAGCCUCGUCGAUGUGAGACUUUCUCCUUUUUGUCUUCUCCACAUAACCCCCUCAUUAUAUUCUAUUCCACCCAUAGUGCUAUGUCCAUGGCUCGCGCUCAUGUAUUAUGUGAAGGUUUAUGAGUUCGAGAUUACUAAAGUAUGAAACAAUUGCUUGGCUUGUCAUCGGGGUUGUGCAUGAUGAGAGCAUUAUUGUGUGACGAAAAUGGAGCAUGACCAAACUAUAUGAUUUUGUAGGGAUGAACUUUCUUUGGCCAUGUUAUUUUGAGAAGACAUGAUUGCUUAGUUAGUAUGCUUGAAGUAUUAUUGUUUCUAUGUCAAUAUUAAACUUUUGUCUUGAAUCUUAUGGAUCUGAACAUUUAUGCCAAAAUAAAGAAGAAUUACUUAGAGAAAUAUGUUAGGUAGCAUUCCAUAUCAAAAAUUCCGUUUUUAUCAUUUACCUAGUCGAGGAUGAGCAGGAAUUAAGCUUGGGGAUGCUAAUACGUCUCCAAUGUAUCUAUAAUUUUUUAUUGUUCCAUGCUAUUAUAUUAUCAACCUUGGAUGUUUUAUAUGCCUUUAUAUGCUAUUUUAUGUGAUUUUUGGGACUAACCUAUUAACCUAGAGCCCAGUGCCAGUUUCUGUUUUUUCCUUGUUUUAGAGUAUGGCAGAAAAGGAAAAUCAAAUGGAGUCCAAUUGACCUGAAACUUCACGGAACUUAUUUUNNNNNNNNNNNNNNNNNNNNNNNNNNNNNNNNNNNNNNNNNNNNNNNNNNNNNNNNNNNNNNNNNNNNNNNNNNNNNNNNNNNNNNNNNNNNNNNNNNNNNNNNNNNNNNNNNNNNNNNNNNNNNNNNNNNNNNNNNNNNNNNNNNNNNNNNNNNNNNNNNNNNNNNNNNNNNNNNNNNNNNNNNNNNNNNNNNNNNNNNNNNNNNNNNNNNNNNNNNNNNNCCCCCCGGGCGCGCCCUCCACCCUCGUGGGCCCCUCGUGGCCCCCUGACGUACUUCUUCCGCCAAUAUAUCUCCAUAUACCCUAAAACGAUUGGGAAGCACAAUAGAUCGGGAGUUCCACCGCCAGAAGCCUCCGUAGCCACCGAAAGCCAAUCUAGACCCGUUCCGGCACCCUGCCGGAGGGGGCAUCCCUGUCCGGUGGCCAUCUUCAUCAUCCCGGUGCUCUCCAUGACGAGGAGGGAGUAGUUCUCCCUCAGGGCUGAGGGUAUGUACUAGUAGCUAUGUGUUUGAUCUCUCUCUCUUGUGUUCUUGAGGUGGUACGAUCUUGAUGUAUCGCGAGCUUUGCUAUUAUAGUUGGAUCUUAUGAUGUUUUCUCCCCCCCCCCUUCUACUCUCUUGUAAUGGAUUGAGUUUUCCCUUUGAAGUUAUCUAUUGGAUUGAGUCUUUAAGGAUUUGAGAACACUUGAUGUAUGUCUUGCGUGGGAUACCUGUGGUGACAAUGGGGUAUUCUAUUGAUCCACUUGAUUUAUGCUUUGGUGAUCAACUUGCGGGUUCCGCUCAUGAACCUAUGCAUAGGGGUUGGCACACGUUUUCAUCUUGACUCUCCGAUAGAAACUUUGGGGCACUCUUUGAGGUUCUAUGUGUUGGUUGAAUAGAUGAAUCUGAGAUUGUGUGAUGCAUAUCGUAUAAUAAUACCCAUGGAUACUUGAGGUGACAUUGGAGUAUCUAGGUGACAUUAGGGUUUUGGUUGAUUUGUGUCUUAAGGUGUUAUUCCAGUACGAACUCUAGGGCUGUUUGUGACACUUAUAGGAAUAGCCCAACGGAUUGAUUGGAAAGAAUAACUUUGAGGUGGUUUCGUACCCUACCAUAAUCUCUUCAUUUGUUCUCCGCUAUUAGUGACUUUGGAGUGACUCUUUGUUGCAUGUUGAGGGAUAGUUAUGUGAUCCAAUUAUGUUAUUAUUGUUGAGAGGACUUGCACUAGUGAAAGUAUGAACCCUAGGCCUUAUUUCCUAGCAUUGCAAUACUGUUUGUGCUCACUUUUAUCAUUAGUUACCUUGCUGUUUUUAUAUUUUCAGAUUACAAAAACCUUUAUCUACAAUCCAUAUUGCACUUGUAUCACCAUCUCUUCGCCGAAGUAGUGCACCUAUACAAUUUACCAUUGUAUUGGGUGUGUUGGGGACACAAGAGACUCUUUGUUAUUUGGUUGCAGGGUUGCUUGAGAGAGACCAUCUUCAUCCUACGCCUCCUACGGAUUGAUAAACCUUAGGUCAUCCACUUGAGGGAAAUUUGCUACUGUCCUAGAAACCUCUGCACUUGGAGGCCCGACAACGUCUACAAGAAGAAGGUUGUGUAGUAGACAUCAAGGACAAGCCUGGACAAGUUCUUAUAUAGAGAGAAGCUCUCCCGAGGACACAUGGGAAUAUCAUCAAGCUAGGUUUCAUCACGAUCAUAUGAUUCGCGUUCGGUACUUUGAUAAUUUGGUAUGUGGGUGGACCGGUGCUUGGUUACUGUCCUUACUUGGACAAGCACCCCACUUAUGAUUAACCUCUAUUGCAAGCAUCCGCAACUACAACAAAAGUAUUAAGGUAAACCUAACCAUAGCAUGAAAUAUAUGGAUCCAAAUCAGCCCCUUAUGAAGCAACGCAUAAACUAGGGUUUAAGCUUCUGUCACUCUAGCAACCCAUCAUCUACUUAUUACUUCCCAAUGCCUUCCUCUAGGCCCAAAUAAUGGUGAAGUGUCAUGUAGUCGAUGUUCACAUAACACCACUAGAGAAGAGACAACAUACAUCUCAUCAAAAUAUCGAACGAAUACCAAAUUCACAUGACUACUAAUAGCAAGACUUCUCCCAUGUCCUCAGGAACAAAUGUAACUACUCACAAAGCAUAUUCAUGUUCAUAAUCAGAGGAGUAUUAAUGUGCAUAUAGGAUCUGAACAUGUCAUCUUCCACCAAAUAAACCAACUAGCAUCAACUACAAGGAGUAAUUAACACUACUAGCAACCCACAUGUACCAAUCCCGGACUUAGAGACAAGAAUUGGAUACAAGAGAUGAACUAGGGUUUGAGAGGAGAUGGUGCUGGUGAAGAUGUUGAUGGAGAUUGACCCCCUCCAGAUGAGAGGAUCGUUGGUGAUGACGAUGGCGAUGAUUUUCCCCUCCCGGAGGGAAGUUUCCCCGGCAGAAUAGCUCCGCCGGAGCCCUAUAUUGGUUCCGCCAAGGUUCCGCCUCGUGGUGGCGGAAUCUCGUCCCGAAAGCUGGCUUAUGAUUUUUUUUCCUCAUCGAAAGACUCCAUAUAGCAGAAGAUGGGCAUCGGAGGGCUACCAGGGGGCCCACGAGGUAGGGGGCGCGCCCCCCACCCUCGUGGGCAGGGUGUGGCCCCUCUUCAGAACUUCUUGUGCUCAGUAUUUUUUAUAUAUUCUGAAAAUGACUUCCGUGAAGUUUCAGGACUUUUGGAGCUGUGCAGAAUAGGUCUCUAAUAUUUGCUCCUUUUCCAGCCCAGAAUCCUAACUGCCAGCAUUCUCCCUCUUUAUGUAAACCUUGUAAAAUAAGAGAAAAUAGGCAUAAAUAUUGUGACAUAAUAUGUAAUAACAGCCCAUAAUGCAAUAAAUAUUGAUAUAAAAGCAUGAUGCAAAAUGGACGCAUCAAUAAGCCUGCUGAAGCACCUCCAAAGCAUCGACGCCGGCGGCGCAGGGUCAAAAUCGCGUCGUGGCAAAGAUAGCAACACCGGCACCGGAGACGAUAACACUUUGGAGGAUGCCGAAGACCCCGAAGCCCCCGUCGAGCCCACAUCCGAGAAGGAUGAUGUGGAGGAGGGGCAGGUUAACAUAGACGAUCCGGUCGGGGACGAGGACUCGGAGGAUAGUAACUAUCUAACACUCUCGGAGGAUGAUGUCAGCCUCGGCAACAAAGACUUCAUCAUGCCAAAGGAACCCCUCGAGCAGGAGCGCUUUAAGCGCCAACUAAUCGCCACUGCGAGAAGCCUAAAAAAGCAGCACAACAGCUCCAGGCCGAACAUGAUACACUCAACGACAGAUGGACUCAGGUCCUAGCCGCCGAAGAAUAUGACCUUCAACACCCAACAAAGUGUUAUUCGAAGCGUCGGCUAUUACCACAAUUUGACGACGAGGCCGUUGAGCCCAUAUCAUCAAGACACGACCGUGCUGAUGAACCAGACCGGCCACCACGCAGGCGAGAUAAAGCGGCAACCUACGCCAAACACCAACCCGCACUGCCUCACCGCAAAGGCAAAGAGACAGUGUCUCCAGGAUACACCUACGACCUACGGUAGGACCUGGACAAUAGAGCAGGCCAAGCCAUAUCAAUCUAUGGUUCAGGGGGCGUGCCCUAACGUGAGAAGACGCCCAUCAGGCCUGGCGCGAUAGGCACAACUUCACACGGGCCGAAAACCGCAUACGGACAUCAUACGAACUCCGUCGAGACGUCGCCAGAUACGGAGGCGCCGCAAACCCCCUAUGCUUUACCGAUGAGGUAAUGGAGCAUCAGUUCCCAGAAGGGUUCAAACUCGUAAACAUCAAAUUAUACAACGGCACGACAGAUCCCGCGGUAUGGAUCGAAGAUUUCCUUCUCCAUAUCCACAUGGCCCACGGUGACGAUCUCCAUGCCAUCAAAUAUCUUCCCUUAAAACAGAAGGGGCCAGCAAGACAGUGGCUAAAUAGCCUCCCAGAGAACUCCAUUGGUAGUUGGGAGGACCUAGAAGAUGCCUUUAGAGACAACUUCCAAGGUACCUAUGUCCGGCCUCCGGACGCCGAUGACCUCAGUCAGAUAGUCCAGCAACCCGGAGAGUCAGCCCGGAAACUCUGGACCAGGUUCUUAAUUAAAAAGAACCAAAUUGUCGACUGUCCGGACGCCGAAGCCCUCGCGGCCUUUAAACACAGCAUCCGCGAUGAGUGGCUCGCCCGACACCUCGGCCAAGAAAAACCGAAGUCCAUAGCAGCCCUAACCGCCCUUAUGACACGCUUUUGCACGGGAGAAGAUAGCUGGCUCGUAUAAGCAACAGCAACAGCAACCCUGGCACCUCCGAAGCCCGAGAAGGCAACGACGGGCCACGACGCAACAAACACAAGCAUCGAAUCAACAACACAGGUACCGAAGACACGGCGGUCAACACCAGAUUCAGUGGUUCUAAACCCGGUCAGCAGAAGAAACCAUUCAAAGGAAACAAAGAUGGUCCAUCUAGCCUGGACCGAAUACUAGAUCGGCCCUGCCAGAUUCAUGGCACCCCUGACAAGCCUGCCAAUCAUAACAAUAGAGAUUGUUGGGUCUUCAAACAGGCCGGUAAGCUAAACACCGGGCAUAAGGGGAAAGGGCCACCUAGCGAGGACGGCGAUGAAGAGCCUCGUCCACCGAACACAGGGGGAUAGAAGAAAUCCCCCCCCCCUUGAGGUCAAAACGGUGAAUAUGAUAUACGUCACCCACAUCCCCAAUCGGGAGCGCAAGCGCGCAUUAAGGGACCUCUAUGCCAUAGAGCCAGUCAUCCCAAAAUUCAACCCCUGGUCAGCCUAUCCGAUCACUUUUGAUCGCAGAGACCAUCCGACCAGUAUCCAUCAUGGAGGUUUAGCAGCAUUGGUCCUCGACCCAAUUAUCGACGGAUUCCAUCUCAUGCGAGUCCUUAUGGACGGCGGCAGCAGUCUUAACCUGCUUUAUCAGGACACUGUCCACAAAAUGGAUAUUGAUCCAUCAAGAAUCAAGCCCACCAAAACCACCUUCAUAGGAGUGAUAACCGGUGUAGAGGCCCGCUGCACAGGGUCCAUAACGCUGAAGGUAGUCUUUGGCUCACCGUAUAAUUUCUGAAGCAAAGACUUGAUCUUCGACAUCGUCCCUUUCCGCAGUGGCUAUCAUGCACUACUCGGACGAACCGCGUUCGCCAACUUCAAUGUGGUCCCGCACUAUGCUUAUCUAAAGCUCAAGAUGCCUGGACCACGCGGCAUUAUAACAGUCAAUGGGAACAUGGAGCGCUCCCUCCGUACUGAGGAGCACACUGCGGCCCUCGCAGCUGAAGUACAGGGUGGCCUUAUCACGCCGAAUACUACAUUGGCAGUCAAGCCACCAGACACUGUCAAACGAGUUCGGUCUACCCUGCAGAAUGACAGUCCAGCCCAUCAAGAGCUACAUUAGCAAUUCAGCCUCCAUCACGGCCCCAACCGGAUUGCGGCAUAUGUAUUGCACGUACAUAACUACGCACUAAAGAUACCAUGGGCAAGGACGGAGGCAUAUUAAAGUCCACAAUACGGCUCGAUCCUACCUGGACCCUCAUAUCCUUCCUUUCUUUUUUCCUAUUUUUAUUUUUCCAGGUUCUUUACAACCCACAUCACUUUUCGAUCGUACCAAGGCCCCUUUUCCAGGCCCCUUAAGCGUACUCGAUUGUCCAUCCUCUCAAAGGAUCACACACCAAGGUGAAAAGCGGCGCAGACAUGCGACAAAGUAUCCAAAAGGAUCUUCAAGAUCACCUUUUCAUUUUUCAAGACCUGUAUACAUCUUUCCCUUGUUCUCGGCAUGUAAAAUAGCCUCGAGGCCUAUGGCAUUCUCUGUAAAAAUACGUCUUGACGUAUCAAUCAGACUAUAAUGAAAACAGUUUUUGCCCAACCUAUUCGGUCCUGGCUUAUCUCCUAAUCUGUAUUCCCUCUUUUCGUCUGAUUGUCAUAUACACCUCGGCACGACUUAAAUCGCCAGGGGCUCUACCCAGCCACACAUAUUUUUUUAAAGAAGUCUGAACACUUUUAUAGUACACUUCGGCGUCCCGAAUAUGGCAUUAUAUGCAUCGGCUUCGAAUCAUGUCUUUGGUCAAUGGUUGGGUUUCCUGGCUCAUGUGGUUACCACCUUACGUACGUUCUGCUUAUUCGGCUACGGUAGUAAAGGGAGAACUAUUGCGAUUGUGUUUCUGGUUUGCCCGGUUAAACACCUCAGUAGAGAAAGCCAAAAACUGACUGGCAUGGUACAGCAAGAGCUGCUCAGCUAUUUGGUGACUAAGUACAAAUCUUUUGCGAUUUCUUUCCAUAUUAUACGAAGGACGGGCUUCUACCCGGUCAGGUGUCUAAAGCACCUAAGUUCAUAUAACUGAAUAACACUAGGGGCUACGCCUAUAAUCUCAUUGUCAAACUCCUAUGGCUAAGUGAACGUGAUAAAGCCCCAUAGUCUGAUUGCCUGGUUCGCCGCACUGACACCUUCUUCAAGGACCAAUACGUUGGGUUAAGUGUGCUCAUGUGCUAUUUCGAACACCCCCCUAGUAUCUACGUGGGGGCUGAAGCCGACGAGUGGUAAAUUUUCAGAUACAGCAAACGGCCGCAUAGGAGGAAAAUAAUCUGAGAUAAAAACAAGAAAACAUAUUAUACAAAAGUCUUGUUUCAUAAUACAAAGUUUGGGCAGCCCGGAUACAUUCAUUCAAAAAUAAUAUCCUUCGAACACUGGCCCUCUACAAUGCGGGAUCCUUCCAGGACUUCAUCAAAAUACCGCUCCAGCGUGCGGUGCUCCUUACCUGCGAGUGGUCCCUCGGUUGCAAGCUUGGUGGCAUUCAUCUUCCCCCACUGCACCUUGACACGGGCGAAGGCCAUCCGGGAACCUUCGAUACAGACCGACCGCUUUAUGGUGUCAAGCCGGGGGCAGGCAUUGACUAGCCGCUUCACAAGUCCGAAGUAGCUACUGGGUAUGGGCUCGGCCGGCCAAAGACGGACUAUAACAACCUUCAUGGCCAAUCCGGCCAUCCUAUGCAGUUCGGUCAACUGCUUCAGCUGAUCACUGAGGGGCACUGGAUGCUUUGGCGCAAGGUAAUGCGACCAUAACAGCUUCUUCGUUGAACUCCCCUCUUCGGCUCGGAAGAACUCCGCGGCAUCAGCAACACUCCGCGGCAGAUCCGCAAACGCACUUGGAGAACUCCAAACCCGGGUCAGUAAGAUGUAUCUUCUCCUUACAAAUUUGCUCUGCAUAUUAAAGGCCUUACGUGCCGCUAUCUGUCACGCCUCUUGGAUCUCCCGGCAGGCGCCUUGGGAUUCAACCUGGGCCUCCUUCGCGCUUUGGAGGGCCUUAGCAAGUUCGGAGUCUUGAUCCGAAAACCCUACGCUCUAAGGACUAACAUUUGCUUAUGGCAUCCUUGAGCUCUUGUUGGACUUCAUCCAACCUCGCUUCAUGUUUUUGGCGGGCGGCUCGUUCCUCCUCCGCCUCCUUUUUUGCUACAACCAGUGAGCUCUUGAGGGAUUCGACCUCAGAUGCAUUCACUAUGAGUAUAACCAUGAAACUCAGCAAGAUAACCAAUCAGAGCUCAUAUCAUUUCGGGUAUGUAUAAGUACCUCAUACCUUGCUCUUCCUCAAACCGCUUAUUGGUGCGGCUGAGCUCCUCGUCGGCCCGCUCCAACCUCUGCUUAGGUUCGGACAAUUCGGCAGCCUGUGCGGUUGCCGCUAAUAGCGAAGCCUGUUUAUCAAAAUAGACAUGUAUGUUAUCUCCUACGAAUACUAAUCGAUCCUCUGUUCGGCCCUUCUUUGCAAAAGCCGAACAGAGUCUUAGGGGCUACUAUUUAUACACAGGCAUAUUUUUUGCAUAUGCAAAGCAGUUAAAAAAUAUUACUUCACAUACCUCGAAGCCUGUUAGUAGGCUGGUAUAGGCUUCAUUCGAUCUAUUUUUAGCGGACCGAACCUUCUCAACCACCGUACCCAUAAGGGUACGGUGUUCCUCCACAAUGGAAGCGCGCUGAAGCGCUUCCAUCAGAAUGUCCGGCGCCUCUGGAUUGACAGAGGUCACCGGUGGAGUCAACGCGCCCCCUUCUUUCAAAGGAGGCUGCUCGCUUGAUUCCGGAGCCGAGCGGAUCUCCGAAAUGAUAUUCGGUUGGGGGCCGAAUUGGGCAUGGCCCCCGUCACCAGUCUCCAUGGGGGUCAGUUCCCCCAUGUUUUCAGCAGCUGAGGUAUUACCCUCUAGCGCCAUCUUGACGGCCUCCCGCACCUCUCCAUGGCCUGGAGAGGUUCUUUGGGACAACACUUCAGUGUUGUCCGUGGCAGUGGGCGGGGAGGCCUGCGGAGGCAUCUCGCUCUCCAUCAUAUUCGGCCCCAGCGAAUUCCCAGAAGAUGAUGAUCAUUGGGGGAGAUCACGAGCUGGACUAUAGCACGCAAUUCAAUGUGUUAAAACCUCAAAGUAUAAAACCGGAUAUAUGUGCAGUGUCCUUAGAUACUUACGAUUCGGCCAAGGGCUUCGGCCUGGGGCACCACUCGAGGAUGGCUUCGGCGUCCGAAUCUGAAUCGUCCGAAAGGGAGAUCUUCCCCUUCUUGGACGCCUCCGCCUCUAGGUCCAUGGAAGCCGCACUUUUCUUCUUUCCCCCCUUAAGGGGAGAAUUUCUCUCCUCCUCAUCUUCAUCUUCAUUCCCCUCGUGGGAGGAGAGAGCUUCGGUAUCCCCGAAUGCAGCGUCCGAAGUACCUUUUCGGCAAAGGAUGCCUCUGACCCCCUUGCCCUUCUUCUUGGCCUUCUUCUCCGGCACCUGGUACGGCGCCGGGACCAGCAUCUUCGUCAAAAGAGGAGUGGCUGGGUCUUCGGGCAGCGGAGCCGGACAUUGGAUCCGCUCUGCCUUCUUUGUCCAGCCCUGAAGGAAGAAUGGAAGGCUCAGCAUACCCCUUUGGGUUUACAAGUUGAAGUUAUGAUUCAGAAAUCCGAAAACUUACUGGAGUGGCUGGAUGAGCACAGUCGAGGCCGAUGUCUUUGGUCGGCUCUGGCCACGACUUCUGGGCCUUGAAAAGCAGCUUCCAGAUCUCUUUGUGCAUCGUGACGAAAAAUCACUGCAGGGUCCGGUGGCUAGCCGGAUUGAACUCCCACAUGUGGAGAGUUAGGCGCUGGUAGUGGAUAAUCUGACAAAAAAGCAUCACCUGGAUCACAUCAGCAAGGCUUCUCCAUUAUAUUUUUGAUGUGCUUCUGUAGCAUCAUCACCUCAUCGGACGACGCCCAAUCCAGACCCUUGUUUAUCCAUGAUGCAAGCCGCAUCGGGGGUCCGGAUCUGAACUCAGGAGCGCCCGCCCAGUUGGCGCCGCGGGGUUCGGUGAUGUAGAACCACUCCUGUUGCCAUAUCUUGACGGUCUCCAUGAAGGCCCCUUUUGGCCAGGUGACGUUCGGGAGCUUUCUCACCAUGGCGCCUCCACAGUCUGCGUGCUCUCCGUCAACCACCUUCGGCUUCACAUUGAAGACCUUAAGCCAUAGGCCGAAGUGGGGGUAAUGCGGAGGAAGAAAUUUGGGGCUAGAUCGUGGAAAUCUAGCCCAUAAUAGAACAUGAGGCUGCGGACGAAAGGGUGGAGAGGAAACCCUAGUCCGUGGAGAAAGUGCGGGAUGAACACUACCCUCUUGUUAGGUUCCGGAGUGGGGACGAUCUGCUUUUUAGCAGGGAGCCGGUGGGUGAUGUCCGCGGCUAAGUACCCCGCUUCCCAGAGUUCCUUGACGUUCCUCUCCGUGACGGAGGAAGCCGUCCACUUGCCCUGUGAGCCGGAUCCGGACAUGGUUGGAGUGUUUGGUGGUGACGGAAAAGAUCGAAACUUGGGCGCUGGAGCUCGAGGAUGGAAGGGCGGAAGAGGAAGAAGGCGUCAAGUAAAAAGAUGGGUCAUUAUCCUCUUAUAAAGGCAGUGAAUAUCAAGCGCCCCCUCACGAGCCUUAAAACUUGCCUAUUCCCAAGGGGUCGUGCAAACGGCAUGGUUGGAUUACCCAAACCCGUAUUGAUGAGAAUCCCGCAAUAAGGGGACACGAUCUCUGCUUCGACAAGACGUGUCAAUGAAGACCGCGCCUCGAAACGCGAAGCGGGGGGCUAAAAACGGUUCGAAAUAAUAAUAAGGCCAGAACAUAACGUCUCGCCGAAAAAGCUGUCAGUAGACAUGACUUAUUUCGUUUAAGUAUUUUACCCUUGUGGUUCAGGGUUGUAACUAUUGUACAGAACCGGAUAUAGUUCUUCUGUUCAGCUGCUUUGGAGUAUUCAGAAGAGGAACCCGCCUUGCAAUGCCGAAGACAAUCUGCGCGCCGGACACAUCGUCAUUGAAGCCUGGUUCAGGGGCUACUGAGGGAGUCCUGGAUUAGGGGGUCCCCAGGCAUCCGGGCUAUGUGACAUGAGCCGGACUGAUGGGCCAUGAAGAUACAAGAUAGAAGGCCUUCCCCCGUGUCCGGAUGGGACUCUCCUUUGCGUGGAUGGCAAGCUUCGGCGUUCGGAUAUGAAGUCUCAUUUCUCUGUAAACCGACUCUGUACAACCCAAAGCCCCUCUGGUGUCUAUAUAAACCAGAGGGUUUAGUCUGUAGAGGCAAUCAUAAUCAUACAGGUUAGACAUUUAGGGUUUAGCCAUUACGAUCUCGAGGUAGAUCAACUCUUGUAACCCCUAUGCUCAUCAAAGUCAAUCAAGCAGGAAGUAAGGUAUUACCUCCAUUAAGAGGGCCCGAAUCUGGGUAAACAUCGUGUCCCCUGCCUCCUGUUACCUUCGAUCCUCAGACGCACAGUUCGGGACCCCCUAUCCGAGAUCGGUCGGUUUUGACACCGACACUUUGGUCUUCCAAAUACUAAAAAGACCAAAGUAUUUUCCUUGAAUGCUCAUUCGGGAUAGGCUCAACACUAGAGAAAGGCUUCCAAGGAAUAACUGUAUUGCCCUGGAUAACGAUUGGUGUAUCCUGUGCUACAACAAUGAUGUUGAAAAACAGGAUCAUCUCAUCAUCUUAUAUUUUUCAGUCAAAGACGCUCGAGGAAAACCUCCUUCAACUCGGGAAUAACAAUGAAUUUGCAGACUCUGUCCACUUUGCUAGAGCCAUCUUUGCUAGUCUGCUCGUCGUCGAAAUUUUCAUCAUCGUAGCUUGGUGUAUUUAGUAAGAGAGAAAUGCCAAAUCUUUGACAACCUCAGCCCUAGUAUUGAUUAUAGGUUUCACCUUUUCUUUUGAAGGAAAUGUCACCUACUUUCCUUUAGACUAAAAGUUGACAAAGCUAAUGCUCUUAGAACAUGUCUUAGUUCUAGCCCCUUGUAUGAGAAUAUCCGGUGGAAACCACAUGGAAAUUAUGUUUUGAAGUUAUGGAAAAUUCUGAAGAAAAUACAAUGUAUCUCAGAGAGAUGGUGUUCUAUACACAUGUAAAAAUUCGAGUUAAAACACAAAUUCAUUUAUGUGGUACGAAAAGACGGUUCAGCAAAUAUAGUACCAAAUAAUAAAUGCCACUAUUCGUUGUUGAAUUUGUUUUUUUUCUUUUGUAUGUCUUUUACAGCUUUUGUAUACCCCCUUGGGUAUACACCCACUUCCUGCUCUUGUAAUAGUAUUUCCUUUAAUAAAAAAUAUUGUCAGGGCCUUCCCUACAGUUUUCCAGUCAAAUAAGAAACACUACUAGAUACGCAUAUUUUGCUGCAAUUUUUGUUAACAAAUCAACUCGCUUUUUUAUAUACAACACAACACACAACUGUGGAAGUAUUCAAAAGAGUGCAAGUGCGCCUUCCUUUCCGUUAGGUGUAUGCAAGCCUUUCUUGUCAACGGAUCAGUAAUAUUUUUGUGGAUUUUGAGACUGGUGAUUAAUAAACUCCCUACCUACCCACUUAACCAGCCCUCAUGCAAGCUUCAGCUGAUCAGACUGGUGUACGCGUGUAUUUUGUGGAUUUUAAGACUGGUGUAUUCUAAUUUGGUUUCUCUCUACAUGACUUGGACCCAGUCUAGUCAAGUCUGGUUGCAGAUGCAGCUUCCUUGAAACUUCCUCAAAUACAUUUUGUCAUAGGAAUCUUAAGCUGUCCAGUUACCUUACGUACACGUGUAACUUUUUUCAUGAUAUUAUUUACACAUUUAAAACAAUACUUCCUCCAUCCCAUAAUAUAAGAGCGUUUUUGACACAAAACGCAAAACGCUCUUAUAUUACGAGAUGGAGGGAGUAUCAUUUUGUGCAUUUCCGAUUUGAAUCGCCGUUCCCCGCCGUUCGUCAUCCAUUUGUCCAUUUAGUAGGAAGUGGUUCACCUAAUGUGGAGGUUCAGCGUCCAAAAGCACAAGACAGUAUGUAUGACCUCUUCUUCUUCAGUAGUGCACACAUGACAUGGCCACAUGUUUUUUAAUCAGGCAGUAAUGAGGUCAAUGGUAAACGUGGACUUUGCUCAGUCUUCGCCACUACCAAAUCCAGCUUAAUUUUGAUAUCUUCUUCUUUAUCAUUUAUCAUAGAUGUCUUGGCAAACAAGCAAGCUACACAUGCAUGCUUUCAUAUCUGUACCACACUGGAGUACUUUAUUAGUACAGUUUUUUACGGGACUUUAUUAGUACAGUUAAUUAAUCAUGGCUGUGACAUUUUGUCUUCCUAUUGUGGUGCCGUUGAUGAAUCUUUUAGGGCAUCUCGAAGGUGGACCCUCGAACCUUCGGUAAGACCUGAGCUAUCCGGACGUAGUUUGUCAUAUAAGACGGUCCCGCAUCGGUCUGGAGUUCGAUUUGGAUGUCCGUUUUCCCACAAAUCAUAACCAAGACAAGAGGCUUUGCAGGAGUCUGGACAUCCACAUGACGAACCAAAAGCCACCACCUAUUCUCUCUCUGUUCGGAUGGAGGAAGACCUCUUCUAUUUUUAUUUUUUAUUUUUUGUUUUUGCUCUUUGACGGAAGGUUGCUAGCAUUUGGUGAAAGCACUAUUAUUUCACUUUUUUUCUCAAGUGCUACACUUUUUCUUUCUUUCUUAAGUGCUCACAAUGGCGAAGGCUGAUCACAAUUGCGGAAGGCCUUUAGUGGAAGGCACUAGAAUUUUGAAGUCACGGUAGCGGAAAGCACUAUUGUUACAUUUUUAUUUCAAGUGCUAUACUUUCUUUUCUUUUUUUCAAGUUCUCAUACUAGUCUGAGCGAUAUAAUUUUUUUUUUCAAAUUUGUUAUCAAAUGGAUCCCAGCAAGGUUGGAUGGCCGGCUCCCAUAUCAAUGUCCGGACAGGGUCAUGCUGGAGAUGCCCUUAUCAUCUCCAGUUGGAGUAUGUCUCCAAACGCAAACCUCAAAUGAACAUCAUCAUCUGUCCACGGAUACGCUGGAUGUGUCCGCGGACAACUGAGCGGACGCCGGUCAUCCAAGACUAUCAUCUAAAAAUCCCCUACUUAUUCGCCCCUCCUUCACCUCUUUCUUUCCACUAAGUCAAAUUGCUUCGAUGCUCAACAUUCAAUAGAAAAUCAACCAUACAUGUAACACUUGCAAACAAAAGUAACCAAAAUCAUAAGCACAUGAUGUUCAACAAGGUCCAUAAUUCGGGUCCACCAAGAAAGCAACUAAACAAAAUGAAUCAUUGCCCACCGCCAUUUCCAUAACAUGCAAUGAUGUCUAGUGGCGAAGCCAUGUUUAAGCUAUGUAGUCAAAUGACUACACAGCUUUGUGGAAAAAUUAUCAUAUAUAAGGUAAAAAAUAAUACAAAAUUUGUAGAAAUACAUAUAUCUUGGCUACACAAAAUUGUGUGGACUACCCAUGAGUAAAAUCCUGGCACCGCCACUGAUGAUGUCUAUGCAAUUGAUGAAUCCACCCCACCGCAUAGGCAUGUACAGUCACCGGUCUUCAUCGUACAUGAAACUUGGACUUCACACAUUUGUUAAGUGCAAUUAGCUUCUUCUCCUCUAGGUCAAACUUCUUUUCUUGCAUUGGCAUGAACUCUAUAAACCUCUCCUCCUUGAGCCUCCUUCUUGCCCAUGAUGUCAUCCCACUUCUUCGACAAUUUGGCUGCCACCCCAUUGCGCUCUUCCUGAUCAUGCUCCAACUUUUCCCUCUCGACCUCGACACAUGGGUGGCCGGUGCAAGCCCUCCUCUAGCUCCACUGCCAUUGAACUUGAUCCAACAAUAAUGCAUCAUGGAUGGAUGCCCUAGUUCUUCUUGUACAGAAUCAUCGUGAGGUUGGGUUAGGAAAAUGAAAACAAUCACAUGAUCAAAACAUUGCAACAUAGAGCAAGAGAAUGCGCAUGCACACAACACAUAAAGCAAAUGAAACAAAUCUUGCAAGACCGUCGAGUCCCAUGCCACUUGGUGCCUGAUUUUGUAUUAAUUUGUGCAUAAGCACCACAUAAUUCUUGGCGGGUUAUUGAAUGGCAUACUACCGUUGGUUGAGUGACCUGUCAUUCCAUUCAAGAAUCAUUUCCGCAUUAUACGUCGAGUAGUCCUUGUUGUCAUGAAAAAACCUCGUGCGCCCUCCUCCGAAAUGUCGCUCCAUUUGCUUCACACCGGCAAACGGGUCAAUGCUUGUGCCCGACUAAGCCAAGCACAACAACUCGUCCUCCUUGUCGAGUAGGUGCCUCCUAUCUUUUUAUUUGAUCACACAUCGGCCGUCGGCGAGUAUUGAUCCUCCACUCCUCCAAAUUCUCCACAUUCGGCACCGAGACGGUGUACGCGGGCGAUGGCGAUGGUGACACAUCGAAGAUGUUGAUUGUCGGGUCGGAGAGAUCCUUUGCGCCAACAUUGAGGUUGGACAUGUGAAGAAAGGGGGUGUGUGAAAAAUGAAGGGGUCCGGGAGGGUGUUUUCGAUGAUCCUGUUAAAGUCGGGCAUGAUAGAUGUCGGAUUCCCCAACUCCGCUCCUCGAUUCGGGACCGGGCGGGAGGAUUCUCUACGUUCGGAUGUGUCCACCCCAAAGGAAGGAUCCGCGUUGAAUCUAGUCCAAAAAUUUGAGGCCGGAGUAAGCACCUGCAUUGGAGAUGUCAUAAUCAUUCGGUGCAUCCCUCUUGCUUGGAAUUUUGGAAUCCAUAUGAAAUCGACUGAUUAGGUAAAACAGAAUGUAUGUAUCUGCAGAUAUCAUGUGUCCAAAUCAAAAUCGGAUUCUUGCCGAUUUGGCCAUAAAUGGUUAUAUCUAUAUCUAUCUAUACUAAUAUAAAAAGAUUUAAAUGUGCAUAUCCAACUAAUCUAGACCAUCGAACUAAGUCAAUCCAACGACCUAUACUGCUCCAAUGGCGAGCGUUAACGUGCAAUUAAUAUCAUAUCAAAUAUUACAUUAAUCACAAAAUUAACACAUAAAUAAUAGCAUAUUUAAUAUUCAUGUGCAAUUAAUAUAUUUUCUAAAUAUUAAUGUGCGUUACACAUGUGCAUUUACUAAUACUAGAUAUGAAAAGGUCCGAAUUUUGGAGUGCCACCAACAAACCCAGUCACAAUCAGUAAUUUACCCACCCCACGGGCUAUAAAUCUCUUUCAAAUUUUGUGAUCUAGUGUCCGGCCUGCAGCUACAAAGCAAACCUGCAACGACGGACCAAAUCUUUUCUUAUCCCCAAUCCACCAUCACCAUGCCGUCGCGGUCGCCGUCCCCGAUGGUGCGCGUCGUCUCGUCGUCCACGGUGAAGCCGCCGCCGCGGCCGAGGGAGCGCAUCCCGCUCACCUCCUGGGACGCCUCCAUGCUCUCCUCCAACUACAUCCAGAAGGGCCUCCUCUUCCACAGGCCCACCUCCUCGGCGUUCAACGCCGCCGACCACCUCGCCGCGGUACUCGGCGACGCGCUCGCCCACUACUACCCCAUCGCCGGCCGCUUCGCCACGGAGCAGCACAGGGAUGACGCCGGGAACGUCGUGGGGUGCUCCGUCCACGUCGACUGCGCCGGCCAGGGCGUGGAGGUCGUGCACGCCGUGGCCGACGGGGUGACCAUGGCGGACGUGCUCCCCCGCGACGCCGACGUGCCGCGCGGCGUGCUGGCGCAGUUCUUCCAGCUCACCGACGCCGUCAACUACGGCGGCCAGGAGCAGCCGCUGUUCGCCGUCCAGGUCACCGACCUCGCCGACGGGGUCUUCGUCGGCUUCGCCUACAACCACGCGCUCUCCGACGGCACCGCCUUCUGGGACUUCGUCAACUACUGGGCCGCCCUCGCGCGCACCAGGCUCGGCCUCGCCGCAGCGCCCCCGGCGCCGAAGCCCUCGUUCGAGCGCUGGUCGCCCGACGGCGGCCCGGCGGGGCCAGCGGUGCUGCCGUGCGCCGACGUGUCCGAGCUCAUCGAGCGGGCGCCCCCGCUGCAGCUGCACGAACGGAUGCUGCACUUCUCGGCCGACUCGCUGGCAGCUCUCAAGGAGCGGGCGCGUGAGGAGCUCCUGGCCGCCGGCGACACGGCGGGCGCGGCCGCACUAACCAAGUUCCAGGCGCUGUCGUCCCUCCUCUGGCGCUGCAUCACCCGCGCGCGGCGGAUGGCGCCGGAGCAGGAGACGACGUGCCGCGCGGCCAUCAACAACCGCGGGCGCCUCCGGCCGCAGCUCCCGCAGGACUACUUCGGCAACACCAUCUACGCCAUCGGCACCGACUCAACGCGCGCCGCGGACCUGCUCGACCGCGGGCACGGCUGGGCGGCGGCGGCCGUGGGGCGGGCCGUGGCGGCGCACACGGACGCGUCCAUCAGGGCGCGCGUGGCGGCGUGGACCGCCAAGCCCAUGGUGUACACGCACCGCUUCUUCGACCCGACAGGCACCAUGAUGGGGAGCUCGCCGCGGUUCGACAUGUACGGCUGCGACUUCGGAUGGGGGAGCCCCGUGGCGGCGCGCAGUGGCAUGGCCAACAAGUUCGACGGCAAGACGUCGUUGUACCCCGGCCACGAGGGCGGCGGUAGCAUCGAUGCCGAGCUCACGUUGUCGCUAGAGAACAUGGCCGCGCUCGAGGAGGACGUGGAGUUCUGGGCCGCCGUGUCCCCGGACACACCCGUGCCGGCGCCGGUGCCGGAGAAGAAGCCCACUUGAAUCUUCUAUGCAUGUCAACACUCUGCUCUGAUACUGCUUGCCAAUUUUCCUCUUUUUUUAUGUUUGCUUGACACAACAGUAACAUGUUCUAAUUCUUGGCUUUGAAUGACAACAAGUGAAAAUUAAAGAAAUGUUGAGUAUUAUAAUUUUCUCUCUGAUACAAACAAGAAAAAAAGAAUGAUAUUUGGGACAUGUAGUCAAACCUACAUUUAUGUGAGCAACCCACUAAUGCUUAUAUUGCUAAUCAAUAGGCUUAAUGCACAUGAGACUGGGAUCUAGCUAGGGGAAUAAGAUGAACACAAAAGAACUAAUUUCAGAGAGGGGAAACUAGAUACUGAAAUUGGGGACACAAGAGAUUGAUCCUUCUCAUGCAGCUGAAUCUAUAGAGUUUAGAUUCGAUGGAAAUUGAAUUGUCUUUUUUUUAACAUCAGUGUAGACACAAGCGCUCAUAUACAUGCGUAUACACCCACCCCUAUAAAUGCACACCCUAUCUCUAUGAGCACUUCCGAGACUUGAAACCUGAUGGACCUACGUGCCUCGUUUAUCGGGCUUCCCCUAUAACCUCAUGUAUAUGUUGUACCUCUUGUAACCGAAGCAACACUGAGAAGUGAAUUCCAUGGUUCAACUUGGUAUCAAGACUCCAGGCUAUUGCCAUGUCGGUCCAACAGUCCUCCUCCUCUGUGGUGAUCCGCUCCGCCACCUUCCCGGCCUCCUUGUCCUUGACAACCCCCGCCUCCGGCGCCUCUGUCCGCCAUCGUGGGCACCUUCUCUGCCACUGCCGUCGGCACCCCUCACCGUGCUUCAUCUUUGGAACUAAACCCUCUCUCCUCAAUGGAACAAACCCAACCCACAACACUCAGUUUGCCCCUCUUUUCUCCUCCGCUGCCACCGCCACCACCAGCGCCACCCUCUGCCAUGCCGCUUCUCAACGGGCUUAGAGAGUCGUCACGUUUGUCAUGCCACUUCUCAACUCGCUUGACCUUGUCCUUGCGGGGGAUGUACACACACCUGACCUUGUGCCCCUUCCGCGCCUCUGUCAAGGUCAACCACAGUCAACCAACCCUCCCCCCUCCCCCCUUCUCUGUUGUCCCCAACUAAGAUGAACAUGCGGUCGCCUCCUGCAUGAAGGCUAAGUCAUGGUGGACCCCGACGUGCGUGGGUGUACCCCGUUGUUGCGGAAACGAGGGCCGACAACGACGCGUCAACGUCGUGGUCACAUACGUCACCACCAGAGAUGUUAUGGAGCCUAACUAUUAUACACUCCAUCUCUCUCUUUUCUCACCGUCGCAUGGGUGUUUGCCUGACAACUAUACUGCUCUGAAGCCACCUACUUUCUUCCCAAGUCGAGAGACAUAGAUGAGCUAGGUUUUUUUAGAACUCAUAGAUUUUUUUAGGGGUCUUGAGAACUCAUAGAUGAGCUAGCUAUUUAACACCUGCAAGCCACCGGAGAAGGUUGUGUGUGAGUGGGCCGAGAAGUAGGCCCACAAGUUAAAGUCUUUCUUUGGCCCAUUGUUGACACUCUUCAAGGGGAGAUCCUAUACGGUGCGUGCCGCACUGGGGCAUGCAACGCGCCCCCCUUGCUCCCCCAACGUGACCUUUUGGGGCGGCACAUGAGCGGGGCGCUCUGUUUUUUAAUAUAUAUUUUUCAUUUUUCAUUUUCUUAUUUUAAAUAAUUUGAGAUUUCAAAAUGUUUGGAAAUUUAAAAAUGUCCUAUUUAAAAAAAUGUUAAGGCAUUGAUAAAUUGUUCAUGGACUGAAAACAUGUCCAUGAUUUUACAAAGAAUGUUCGCAUAUUCUGAAAAUGUUGGCGGAUUAAAAAAAACAUGAUUUUACAAAAAGUGUUCGCAUAUUCAAAAAGUAUUCAUGAUUUUGAAAAAAUGUUUGUGUACUCAAAACAAAUUAUGAAAAUGAAAAAAUGUUUGCAAAUUCAAUUUUUUCAUGAAUUGUUUUCAAAAUGCUUACAAUAUUAAAAAAAUUGUUCAUGAAUUACCAAAAAAAACUUUGAUUCCAAAAAUGCUUGCUGAUUCAAAAAAUCUUCACAUAUUCGAAGAAUGUUUAUAAAAAAAAGUUCACAGAUUUUCAAAAAAGUUCAUCAAACUUUAGAAAAAGUUCACCUAUUUGGAAAAAAAGUUCAUAAAUUUUUUUAAAAAUAUUAUCGAUUUUGAAAAAAACAUCUACUUUCAAGGAAAAUGUUCAUGAAUUUGGAAAUAAGUUCAUCGAUUUUGAAAAAGUUCAUCUACUUUCGAGGAAAAAAUCACUAAUUUCUUUCGCAAAAAAAAUUGAAUUUGAAAAAAAAGGAAGAAAAACGAACAGAGAAAAAAGAAGGUGGGCGAAUCGAUUGCUGCAUCUGGGGAUUUGGUUUUGGUGGAUCCAUCCAUGGGGCGGGGCAACCUUUGGAUUUCUAUUUGAUUUCUUGGAUUUCUUGGAUUUCUUGCCUGGAGCUUAGAGCCUUAAUUAGAUUAUUAUUACAGUCUCAUCUGGUACUGAUAUGGUUAAGGCCGAUGAUAUAAACAUGCUCGUCCAUUGCUGCCAAUUCUGAUAAUUGUCUCCCAACUCAAUAAUCGUUUGCCACAACUUGUGGUAACCCUUGUUAAGAUUUUGAUUAACAGUGCAUUACCAUUCUGCAGCCUUUUCAAUUCUUUGACAUCAUACGUGUAAAUACAUAAGUUCCAGCAAAACAUUGGUACUGUUCCAGCAAAAAUGACAUGUUCAUGACAAAAACAUUCUUCUGCUUCCAGCAGAAAAUUACAUGCUUCCAGCAAAAACGUGAUGUGGUUCCAAACUGCAGUCGCCGCUCUGGUAUUUUAGGGACUCAGAGAGAGAAAGAGAACGGCAAUGGGGAUGAGCUGGAUUAGAUACUCGCGGGGGUCAGGGUGGGGAUAAGGUUUGUGUGGCCAACCUUGCUGCAUUGGCCAAACGGUCACGUGGGCGAGUUGCAUUAUAACCGUACGAUGGUGUUUAAUCCUUACUGCAUUGGCCAAACGGUCACGUGGGCGAGUUGCAUUAUAACCGUACGAUGGUGUUUAAUCCCAUGCACGCGGCGCAGCGGUUCGGCCGGCGGGCUGGCACCAAACGUUUUCCAUAAAAAAAAAUCUCUAACUUAAGGGAAACCAAUUGAUUUCCUCAUUUUUUUGACAAUUAAUUGAUUUCCUUUUAAUUGUAUAGUAAGAGACUCGAAAGUGGAGACCUCGGCUGCAACCAAACCCUCGCGAUGUCCGGCGGUCGAUGCGGCGGCGGGCCUCCCGGCAACGGCAACAACCCCGGUGAGACCCCCCCCCCCUCCCUCCCUCCCUUGCCGCGGUGUGGAGAUACCCCCGUGCUUUCGGGAUCCGUGCGGUGCGCAUUGGAUGGCGCAUCUGCUGAUUUGGUUUUCCUAGAUCCAUCCAUGGGGCGGGCCGAGUGAUUCCUGAAUUACCUCCCUCCCUCCCUNNNNNNNNNNNNNNNNNNNNNNNNNNNNNNNNNNNNNNNNNNNNNNNNNNNNNNNNNNNNNNNNNNNNNNNNNNNNNNNNNNNNNNNNNNNNNNNNNNNNNNNNNNNNNNNNNNNNNNNNNNNNNNNNNNNNNNNNNNNNNNNNNNNNNNNNNNNNNNNNNNNNNNNNNNNNNNNNNNNNNNNNNNNNNNNNNNNNNNNNNNNNNNNNNNNNNNNNNNNNNNNNNNNNNNNNNNNNNNNNNNNNNNNNNNNNNNNNNNNNNNNNNNNNNNNNNNNNNNNNNNNNNNNNNNNNNNNNNNNNNNNNNNNNNNNNNNNNNNNNNNNNNNNNNNNNNNNNNNNNNNNNNNNNNNNNNNNNNNNNNNNNNNNNNNNNNNNNNNNNNNNNNNNNNNNNNNNNNNNNNNNNNNNNNNNNNNNNNNNNNNNNNNNNNNNNNNNNNNNNNNNNNNNNNNNNNNNNNNNNNNNNNNNNNNNNNNNNNNNNNNNNNNNNNNNNNNNNNNNNNNNNNNNNNNNNNNNNNNNNNNNNNNNNNNNNNNNNNNNNNNNNNNNNNNNNNNNNNNNNNNNNNNNNNNNNNNNNNNNNNNNNNNNNNNNNCGCGGUGCGCGUUGGAUGGUGCAUCUGCUGAUUUAGUUUUCCUCGAUCCAUCCAUGGGGUGGGCCGAGUGAUUCCUGAAUUACCUCCCUCCCUCCCUUGCCGCGGUGUGGAGAUGCCCCCGUGCUUUGAGGAUCCGUGCGGUGCGCGUUGGAUGGCGCAUCUGCUGAUUUGGUUUUCCUAGAUCCAUCCAUGGGGCGGGCCGAGUGAUUCAUGAAUUAGGCAUGGUGAUUAUUAUUAUUAUUAUUGUUAGGUUUGGGUUUGUUUGUUUUGAAAUAACUGGGGAUUCAGUUACUAGUUCCGUGAGCUUAGAGCUUAGAUUACAGAGUCCACCUUUGGGUUUCUAUUUGAUUUGAUUUGAUUUCUUGGAUUUCUUGUUUGACUUGCUUGGAGCCUAGAUUAAUUACACAGUCCAAGUAUGAACUAAUCUCAUCUCAUACGUACGGUUAUUCUUAACGUUACCUACCAUGCUAAAUUCUGUAACAUGCUCGUCCAUUGCCGAUUCACGAAUCCUUUGCCAAUUGUGAUAAUUGUCUCCCAACUCAAUAAUCAUUUGCCACAACUUGUGAUGACCCUUCUUAAGGCUUUGAUUAACAGCGCAUUACCCUUCUGCAGCUUUUUCAAUUCUUGACAUCAUACGUGUAAAUAUGUUUGUUUAUAUGGCUCUAUCUAAUAAUCAUACAUUACAUAAUCCUGUCCUUGUUCUGCAUCCAGGUCCAGGGGGUGGUUGGGAGACUAUUGAGAAUAAGAAGAAAUCAGGGCAGACAUCUGGGAGGGGACAAUGGGCGCCACGGACUUCAUCCUCCAAUGCUCCACCCGCUACAGCACGGCAAGCUUGGAAUGGCAAUGGGUCUUCGCGUCCUUCAGGAAAUAAUUGGGCUCAACCUUGUGGUCGUGGGCCUGCUGCCAGAGGCAAUCCCAGGGCAUCAUCACAAGCAAGGUCUACAGAACCAGGAUUGCAAGCGCCAAACCCACCUCUGCUAAAUGGUUGGCAGUGGGCAUCAAGGCCUCGCCCAUCUCGUCCUGAAAGCAACAACGAUGAUGUUGCUUCCUCUUGUUUCGACCCUGAGAUGGAUGAUCCUCAAGUCGAGGACUCGUCAGAUGAUGAUGAUCUUAAUGAUGAUGAUGGUGACAUGAGCGAUGACUAUGAUUCCGAUGCAUCGGAGAAAAGUUUCGAAACCCGAAAAACAAACAAGUGGUUCAAAAGUUUUUUUCAGGAGACCGAUACCUUAAGUGUGGAUCAGAUACAUGAGCGACAGUCGCAUUGUCCGGCAUGCCAAAAUGGACCAGGAGCAAUUGCCUGGUUCAAAGGGCUGGAAUCUUUGGUCAGACAUGCUAGAACAAUGGGUUCUAGGAGGGUUAAGCUCCACAGGGAAUUGGCUGCAUUGCUGGAAGAGGAGAUGUCUCGCAGGGGAUCUUCUGUGGUACAGCCCGGCGAGCACUUUGGGAAAUGGAACGGAUUGGCAGAAAGCACCGACCGGCAGAUAGUAUGGCCACCAAUGGUGAUUGUGAUGAACACAAGACUGGAAAAGGGUGAAGAUGAUAAGGUGAUGAUGUUUGUCUAUCUUCAACUACACAUUGUAUUAGUAGCAAAAGUAAACAGCAAGACUGUCAUAUUUUCAUGCUUAUUUCUUUUAUCUUUCUAGAGCAUUUGUUUCAUAUCUAUUAAUCUGUCUGGGAAGGAUUAAAAUACUCAAUAUUCACACGACCUGUUAUAAUUAUUUGCUUGCAGUCAUGCUUGAAUUUAAUAUAAACUAGAAUAAAGUAAAUAUAAUAUGCGGUCCAUUGCAUUUGUAAAAAAAACAUAUGUUCAAGGUUCUAAAAUUAUGUUUUAUUGCAUUCUGAUUUCGCUAUUCAUUGAUGCUCAACAGUGGUUAGGCAUGGGCAACCAAGAGCUGCUCGGAUAUUUCAGUGAUUAUGCUGUGACCAAAGCACGCCAUGCAUACGGUCCUCUUGGGCACCGUGGCAUGAGUGUGCUAAUAUUUGAAAGCUCUGCCGUGGGCUAUAUGGAGGCAGAACGUCUGCAUAGGCUCUUUGUUCAUCAAGGAACAGACAGGGACACAUGGAACAAACGCAGGGUUCCUUUCUUGCCUGGUGGCAAAAGACAAUUAUAUGGUUUCCUAGCCUUAAAGGAAGACAUGGAGGAUUUCAAUAAGCACCACCCAGGUAUAAUAUUUUUUAACUUCUCGCAUUGAGAUGUUAACAUGGUCAAUACCUGCCACGUUCAUGUCUAUAUAGUACCACAUGCCUCUUUAGCUUUCUGAUGUUGUUUUGAUUAUAAUUUCCGAUCAUUGCCAACACUUGUUUGUGCAGCAACCUUUUGGUGAUUUGGAUAUUUGCCGAAAAUAUGUUUUACUGAGCAUGAUUUUUUCAUUUAUUGUAUUAAAAUAAAAAAUCAAUUCUGUCCAUAGGAAAGAGAAGCAAUUCUAUUUAUACUUGUUUAUCAUUCAGAUGACUGCCGUGCCAUCCUUUCAUUGUUUAUUUUGAUCUUACAAUGUGCAUGGAUUCUACAUCCUUUGCAGUUCAGUUUUUCUUUCACCAUGCCAUCCUUUAAUUGUUUAUUUUGAUUUUACAAAAUGCGUAGAUUCUGCAUCCUUGUGGCAAUCCUAACAUUUUCUACAAAGCUCGUAGCUUGCAAAACUGUCAUACACAUUGUAAUAUGGCAUGGGAUCCUAAUUUCUUUCACCAUGUCAUGCGCUUAGUAAUGAUGCCAGUUAAUAAUAUUAAGGGUAUGGUUUGCUAGUUCAUCCAAAAAUAGAUCUUUGUAGGUCUUCUAUGUGUUGUGUUGUCUGCUAUCCUGUUAAAUCGAAGAAGGUCUAUAGUUAUGACUUGCUUGGAGCCUAGAUUAUUUAUUUUGGUGUAAAAAAGCAUUAAUUUAGUGCAAAGGUAAAAGGAAAAUGCUCUAUUGAACCAGACUUCAGUACUUCAUGGUUUUGUUAACAGAUAUAUUGCCUACUGUACUAUGUAUGAACAUAAAUGCUUUAUUAUAAUUCUCAGGGAAAAACCGCCUGAAAUAUGAGAUGAGAUCUCAUAAUGAGAUGGUAGUGGCCCAGCUGAAACAAAUGAGUGAAGAUAGUCAAGAACGGAAUUAUCUCAAGAACAAGGUGGUUAAGACAAAGCAACACUCUAAAGCUGUAGAAGAAAGCCUGGGUUUUGUUGCCCAGAAACAUCGAGAGUCUAUACAAGAGAAUAUAUUUGUCAGGCGUAAAGCCAAGGAAAAACACGAUGAGUAUGAGGAGGAGGUAACGAUUUUCUUCCUUAAAUCUUCUUCCUUGUUUUUGAGUUCGUCUCCUUUGCUCACCUUGUGUUUCUUCUAUACUUUGCAGAUGAAAUCCCAGGAUCAAUUCUUCCAUGAUCAGAUAGAAAGCAUGCGCAGGGCCAUGGAGGAAAAGGAACGUGAGUUUGAGAGGUUGCUGCAGGAGGAGCGUGCCAAGGCUAGACAGUGUCAUGUGGACGAUUCUGGGACCACCGAAAAUCGCAGGCUAAGGUGGAUGUUUCACUUGUGCUUUUCUAUUUUGUUUUUCGAUCAUGUCUUGCCGUCUCCUACCUACGUCAACAUAGUUAAAACAUGAUCUAUUUUAACCCGUACGUGUUAUGCUGUUGUGCAGGAAGGAACAGGUACAACGGUUCAUCGACUGCCAGGUUAAGGACGUGCAGGAGUUCGAGGCUGAAAGAGACGAACUGAUAAAAGCACACGAGGAGAAGAAGGUGCAGCUCAAGAAAGAGUACAUGACAAAGGAGAUGGAGCUCGAGGAGGAGUUUGAUGCCGCUCUUACCGGUCUGAUGGAGAAACACAGGCCCGGCACCUUCCAGGCCCCCAAUGGCUCUUGAAGAUCACAGUACAUAGGUUUUCGAUCCGGUUUCCCUUAUAAACUGGAUCACUCUCCUGGCAUACUGGCUGGUUAGGAAACCUCGACUUGAUUAGGGAAACUGAGCCUGCAGGAGUGUAUGUAUCACCACCCAUCUAACGGCUUUCCUGCUUUGCCUCGGGUAGCCAACGUCGAAUGGAAAUCCGUUCUAGGACUUCAGGUGUAUGCAAGAUUAGGAAACCUCAACUUGAUUGGACCUGUCAUCUUGCUCUGCUUUAGAAUUUCAGAUAGAAUGUAUCCAAAUUAUCGUGUCAUCUUUUCAGAAUUUCAAAUGGUUCCUCUGCUGGUGUCAUUGCCAGAGAGAAGAGUUCGAGCUCUUUUCAAAAGACAUGAUGAGAAAAGUCAUUGGUGAAAAGCUGAGUUGCUUUGAGGUUUAUACUUUUGUAACUUUAUCACCAUUUGCUUUAUCUAGUCACAUUCUUUCUUGUCCUCUUCUUCAUCACCUGGAACAGCCAGUGUUCGCUAUUUGUCAUGCGAAAACCGCCAAAAGUUCUUGGCCUCCGUGACCCCGGACACUCCGGUGCCGGCACCGGAGAAGAAGGCUUGAAUCAUGCAUGUCACCACUCUGCUUUGCUUAGCAGAAACAAUAGCAAUAUGCUCUAAUUCUUGGCUUUGAAUGACAAGAAGAAGAAAAAAUGCUCAGAUUUGAGGCUUCCUUCCUUGCCACUAAACAGAAAUGCCACAUUUUUGAAAUUUGGCGAGUAUUAUGCCCUGGGCCAAACGUGUGUUAUAAUGGGCGAAUCUCAUAAGGGCGAGUCAACUCCAAAAACACGCCCGUACUUCAGAAUGUAGGCUGCAAAUCUCACGUGCAUUGUGUUUUAACCAAAAACCCGAACUGAAUUGUCACCAAAGUUAGUACGAGCUAUUUCUGUUGCUGUUUUCAACUAUCCAAAUUAGUAUGAAAACCGAAACUAUGUUUUCGGCUUAACUGAAUGUCCACCCAGAUUUUCUGUUUUCAUCUAUCCAAAUUAGUACGAAAAACAAAACAUGGCUUUCGGCUUAACUGAAUGUCCACCCAGAUCUGCAUGCCAUGGCUUCAUCUUCUGGCCUCAACCCCCUUCCUACCUUGUUGAAAGCUGCAACUAUUGAUCUCAUUUGGUUGGUCAGUUAUAAAUUGUACAGACAUAAACUGACCUGAAGAUGAGACAUCGACAGUGCCUUGAACUGAGAGCACCAUCACCAUGGUCUAGCUAUCUCCUCCAUGAAGAGAUAGAUGCAUUGCUAGUCUCUCUCAUGGGUUGGUGCUUUCACUUCAAGCACAAUCGACGCCUAGAUCUCCUUUCCAGACGGCCAUGAAGAAAGAUGCGCAGAUAUCCAUGGCUGAUGGUGCACCGCCAUCUUCGAACUCGGUAAAUCACCAAGCCAUGGCAGCGAGGCCCAAGAAGAACAGCCACAUACUGCCCCCAACACAGCGAUGGUGGUGGGACAAUUCGGUUUCUGAGCUAUGGCAAAUCCAAUCAAGCGACGACAAGCACGAAGAAGAAUGACGAUAACCAAAGUUUCAGUUGCUUGAUCAGAUUUGCCAUAGCUCAGAAGCUCAACAACAUGGCCAGAAAGAAAAAAACUACAUACCUAUCUGCUUUUAAUUUCUACCAUCAGUUAAUCAUGAAAGCUGAUUUCUGAGUGGUAACAGUCACAACAAUAUGUAGCUAACACUAAAUAUCAUGGCACCAUUUUUUAGCAACCUCAAUUUUAUCCAAAGUUGUAACUGGGGUCAUACUGAGAUGCGGCAGCUAUUGCUUCAUGAGCUGCCGCUUGGAGACAGGCCGCCUCCGUCCUCCUCUUAUACUCGUCCGUCUCCUCCCUGGUUAUAACAUAUCUCCUUUUUGCAUGAGAGUCAAAGAAAGCAGGAGCAGUGAGAGCGACGUGGUAGGUGCAUCGUCUAUCAAAAAUUAGUCGGUACUGGAGGAACUGAUCGUUCCUCUCAACAAACUGAUGACGAACCAUGGCCUCAUAAUCUAAAUAAACAGGAGGCACGACCCAAAUAAUAUCAGCCAAAUCGUCAGAGAGAGAUGGCAGCACCCAAGAUCAUUCGUUAGAUACUUGCUGUUAUCUACUACUCCCUCCGUAAACUAAUAUAAGAGUGUUCAGAUUACUAGUUUAGUGAUCUAAACGCUCUUAUAUUAGUUUACGAAGGGAGUACUCCGUAUUUGUUUCACUUUGCUACUGGACUCAAGUCUUCAGUCGAUCUAGAGGAGCACUGAAUAAAGACAGGUUAACACAUCACACAGACACUGAUCACUUGAUAGUUACAGUUCCCACUUCACCUAAAAUGGCAGAGCCAGUCAAUUGACGGCGAGCGCAAGGAAGAACCAAAGUGCCGUCGCUUGAUUUUGCCAUGGCUCGGAACCGAACCUUGACAGCAUGGCCAGGGAAAGAACUCCAUACAUGCACAGGAAAGUGUGCCACCUGCUCUUAAUUCCUACCAUCAACUAUGAAAGCACCCAACAGUCACACAAGUAUAUUUAGCUAACACUAAUUACCACUUUCAGAAGUUUUAUCCAACGGCGCAACAAACCACCAUAAUAUCAGCCAAAUCUCGAGAACCUGAUCAAAAGUCAUCAGUCAAUAGGUUUCAAUUUUGUCUUUGCCGGCCACUGGACUCGUCUUCAGUCAAAAUCUAGAGGAGCACAAUAAACUCAUCGCUUGAUAGAUUACAGCUUCCAUCUCACCUGAAAUGAGAAGAGAGAAAAGAUUAUUAUUUUUCGGAACCGAGAUAGCAGAAAAAGAUUAUUAUCUGUCCAGGGUUGAGGGGCGUGGUACCUUCAUCUUGGUCAGAAUAACAAAGACCUCAUCUGCAGGGGCAAUCUUGUAACCCCAAGCACCUUCUCAACGGAUUCCUCGCUGCAAUCUACAACCAAAUUUCCCCAUGAUUACAGGAUGCAACAACACAUUCACAUUCUUAAACAUAACUUAACUGAAUCUGUACUAUGUACAACAAAAAAUGACAGAUACACUAACCAAAAGCUAUAUGUUAGAUACAAUGCAGUUAAGAGAGGCCGAAAUAUUCAAAAUAAAAAAACAUCUUAUCAUAGAUUGGUGGCGGUACCACAGCGAAUGGGGAUAUUAUAGACAUUGGCUGCUCUGAACUGGAUGACCUAGAGAAACACAUGCAUGCAGAGGAGCAACAUCGCAAACAAAUCUUAAACAAUUGACGAAAUCAGUCCUGCCUAAUGGCUGCUGCCUCACAUUACAUAUUAGUUAGUUGGUUUCUGUGCACUAGCACACGCAUCUUCAGAACUGAACGGAAUCUCAUAGGAAACAAAUACAGCCUCUCUCUACUCGAACAAAAACAACAAAUAUAGUGAGCGGUCUGCAACCUAAUCUGGACCCAGCUAGUUGUUACAUUAUAAAGUAACUAAGUCCACAGAUAUAUGAUACACGUGACAGAGACCCAAAAACGCAAAAAACACAUCUUAUCAUUGAUUCAUAGCACACAAACAUUGCAAAUUGGGGCAUUAGAAAUUACUACAUUGGCUGCUCUAAGCUGAAUGGCAUCCAAACACAUGCACACACAAGUCUCAUAGAAAACAAAUACAUCCAUUGGCCAUGCCAAUUGCAAACUAAAAAUCCUUCAUAGAAAGAAAAAACUACUUGUGCAAAACAAACAGAAGAAGAUUUACCUUUUUUUUAUGGCAUACAAGCUCAUUAUGCAAGGAUAACACUAGCCAUGAAGAUGAGGUCUCAUUGCGGACAUAUUGCUACAAGAAGACAAAGAACAAAAAAACUUCACUUUUUGUAAAGGUGUUAGUAUUGGUCCUUGAUAAUCCACACCUCAUGGGAGAAUGACCGAAGACAGAACUAUGUGUGUCAGACAACUUUUUGCAUCCGUCUCACCAUCUGGACAACCCGGACAUACUCAAAAAAUCGAUUGCUGUCCAUUCCCAUGGUUGUGCCCACCGUCAUCGCUGUGCCUCUGUAAACAUCGUAGUUCCCACCAACAAUGAGGUCAAACCCACCAAACUCUUUCAUCAGGUCCUCAAACUCCUUGGUAUCUAGCUUCUGGAUCCUAUCAAGUUGUCUUAGCUUUCCAUUCUGCUGGGUUUUUCUCCACCACAUCUUUAGAACUCUACGGUUCACCACAGACUCCUCUACGGACACCACGCACCUCAGCGGAAUUCCAAGACGGUGUAGAGCGACUUCUGCACCCCCGAUUGCACUGUAGAUAGAGAUCACUCUCAGCCCAUCAGGAUACCGGUCCUUUAGGACCGACAAAAGGUAUGCUAUGGUAUCAGUUUGCAAGGCAAACCUCAUGGAAGCAACCUUGUCUUGUGGGUCUAUGCCCGGCAGAUCCGUAUGGCUAGCUGGAUAGCCUAGAAUCACUUCCAUCUGGUGUGGCUGCAGAGGGCCUAACUUGUCUUGACCAGUCCAGAUGAGAUUCGCCAUCUUGCAUUGAUGAAUGAUCUGCGCUUGCUUCACUUCUGAAAGAUUUCCUCGCGAAUCUUUCACCGCCUUCUCCACCUUCUCACAAAUCUGUUCAGUUCCCACCACACCUAAAGCAACACCAUCGAUCUGCUUUCUGGUGUCCCAUGAGGGCCAGAACCGUCUUAUCAGAGGCAAUGCAUCUCUGAUCGUCAUUGGUGACCUUGGAAUCGCAGCAUGCCUUCUCUCCGUUGGAAGGUUAUGAAUAUAACCCUCCUUCCGCAUCAGAGCCGAGAAUGAUUGACUGUUUAGAUACUCCGGUUGCACGUUGAAUAGGAAACUCGAGAGCUGAUUCCACGUGUCUUUGCUGAUGUCAACAAGACUUGCAUAGAGGAAGAAGGGAGGUUUGAAAAGGUCACCGUGGAUGUUUCUACCAGGGCUUGACGUCCUUUCAAGACAUUCAUCCUUCAGAGAACCAUUAGCAAUUGACCCAGAACAACGACUUAACCAUGGAGUGCGGCUAGAUUGAUUAACAUUCUGACUGCUUGAUGCCCUUCUGUCAUCUCCAAAUGCAUGCUUGGCCUUUUUACGUCUGAUGUUGGCAUCAUCAUCGUCAUCAUCAUAGAACCUCAAUCUCGAUGUUGAAUACCCAGUUUCUGUCUCGUUCGGAAAUUCAGACUCUAUCUUCACCUACAUAAAAGAGAACAUACAGUGCCAUGUUAGAAACAAGAGGGGUUAUUAAUUAGUUUUUAUUGUUUUACAUCCAUGAGAGCAUUUAAAGAUGUCGCUUUCCAUAUGAGCACUGGAGUCAGUGAUUACAUACUUUAAUAAUCAUGAAACAAAAGAAACUAGAAAACCAACUGGAAACAUCAUAAAUAGAAAUCGUUUAUGUAAAUAGUUGACCUAACUUCUUUUUGGAUAUGAGAUCAAACAGAUAUUAACAUUGCCCUUAUCUGUCCACAUAUGGUUUUUGAACUCUGCAGGAGAUCCUAUAAGUAAAACAAGGUACUCUACACUACCAUCGCUCCUACGGGGAGACAUGAUAUGCGUAAAUAGCACCCCACUUAGAAUUUUGCCACUUCCUCCCGUAAAAGGACUAACAGAUGUGGGACGACACAACAAACAUUACAUACCGGUGUCACUCACCCUAGGCUUCUAAUUCCAAUGUGAGAGUUAAGUCACAACCACGACUCCACAUAGGCCACUUGACGGUUCAAGAAACCAUCGGUACCCUCGGUCGGGUGGCGAACGCGGCUAUAAGUACCAGAAGGGAGUUCACAUAAGGGAUUACCCAGGUUUGAGCCCACAUGGUGAGGUAACACUCUACGGAGCACCUCGUGCGAGGGGGUUACAGUAGAGAUGUGUAUGGCUAUCGAGAGUAUAGUAUAUGUUGUAAAUGGGAAUGGCUACCCGCAGCCUCGCCUUAUAUAGGUGACGAGGUCUAUGGGUUUACAGGUGAUCUAACCGAUCUCAUGCCGCCACCAUCUUGGUUUGCACGCCCAAGAUGGGCUCCUGAUCUUUAUCCGAGCCUCCAGGCUCCCUCCUGUCACCAGACCCCUGCCAGACCACCUGGGCCCCAGCCCCCAGGGCAAGCCUGCUGCCGGGCCUCCCUCUGAGGGACCACCCCCGGUGUAUUACACCAUCAGUAGCCCCCGAGCGUGUCUAGAGUUAAUCUUUUUCAUCCCCGGGAAUGAGAACCUAGGCGGGCUCCUAAUGUCGACAAUUGUGGUUUGUCUUCAUGAGUCUCACUUCAAGGUAUUCAGGCCAAUGUUUUCGAGUCGAUGAGUCGACGGGUCGCUCGGGGAGGGCGACUCUAGACUAGUCGUGACUAGUCUAGACUCACGGUCGACGAGUCGACAUGGCGACGAGUCGAUGUGAGUUAAGCAGCAGGCAGUCAGGGGAGGAGCACAAGUGCACAGCAGCAGCAGCAACCAGGGGAGGAGGGGAGGAGCACACCAGCAACAGCAGUAACCAGGGCCAACUGAGAGAUGGGCCACUAGUUAUGCACUUCCCUGUGGCCCAAAAGCCCAUCUAGUAGCUAUAUACUCCUCCCGUGACCUAAUCCACCAUCCACACUCCCUCCUCCCUCACCACAGCCGCCACACAUUCGCUGCCACUCUCUUGCCACCAGUCCACCACUCCUCCCAGCGAUGGAUCUCUCAACUCCCCCGCAGCAGCUCUCUUGCCACCGCUCCUCCUCCCAGCCCGCUCCUCUUGCCGCUUCAGCUUCAGCAGCAGCAGCAGCAGCGCGGCGGCAAGGGCGCAGCAGCAGCAGCAUCAGCAGCACGGCGGCGGGAGAGUGCUCCAGAUCCAGCGCUGCCUCGAGUCGUUCGACCCCAAAACCGCGACUAGUCACGCGAGUCGCUCGACUCAUCCCAGGAGUCGAGCCGAGAGGCUGAGUCGGCCCUGGAACUGCGACUCGUCAACUAGUCGACGACUAGUCGCGACUAGUCGAGCGACUCGAAAUCCAUGAUUCAGGCUCGCCAAAUGCGCGGGUUCCUGGAUAGCGUCUUCGUUCAGAGUGACCGGUCCGGGUGGCUCUGGGGCCUUGUGCCCUAUCAGGUGCUCUGCGUAUGAUGACCGAGGCGAUCAUGCACCGGGGGAGCCCGUGGGGGAAGUGGCGACGGGUUUCGUCCGGUGACAGCGAAGAUCACAGGCCUGCUGCCGGGCUUCCUGCCGAGGGACCACCCCUGGUGUAUUACACCGUCACCACUGCAAACAGCCCAAGUCUAAUAAAAAUGAAUGUCAUUUAGUUACCUUUUUCUGCUCAGUGGUAUUUGAGAAGCGUCUUGCGAAUAUCGAGUCAGCCAACUCCUCGACUGUUGCUUCCUCGCCUGGAAAGAGUGGGAAACAUGACAUUUAAGGUUUCUGAACUCAACAGAGCACACUAACACUAGUAGACUGCAAAUAAACAUGUACUCGUCAGCUUAAAAUCAACAGAUUGAUAUAUUUAAAGUUAAGGAUACAGCUCUAAUCCUCACACCAUGUUUACCUACCAAAAAUAGCAAUCACAGAUGAGACCUCUUCUUUACUGAAACCCAUCUUGAGCAAAGAAAGUGGUGUAUCCAUUACCUCAGGCUGCAAUUCAGCAGUUUCCUGAAAAAUCGUCACUUCAAAAUAAAAGCGUGCAUAUUGGAAUGCUCUAGCACAACAAAUUCACCGAACAAAGUCUAUAGCAGCGAGAAAUGAUGUAGCAAUUGAGUUAAUACUUGUUUCUGCUCAAUGUUAUUCGCAAUGCGUCUUGCCAAAAUUGCGUCAGCAAGCUCCUCAACUUCAGCUUCUUGACCUGAAAGGAACAGGAAAAAUGACAUUAAGGUCUGUAGGAAAUCACCAAAACAGACUAACAAGUGAAACAAGUCUGCUCUACAAUACGAAAAUGAUAUUGUCAUCUUCAUGGAGAGUGAUGACAGUAACACUCUGCAUCUCAAUUCCUUGAUGUUGUUUUGAGGGGAUGUAAGGCAUGAAGACAAGAGUUAGGUUGUGGAUUUUGGUGUUAAAAUGUAAAGCUGGGCACCUUAUCUCUGACAUAUCUGGGUACGCCCAUUGAUGAACACAGAUUACCUAAUGCUCAGCUUAUGCAUUUGGUUCAGAAAAUCAGUAAGAGGAUAGGUCCAUGGCAGGGGAGUCACCUAUCCUCCUGGGGGAAGACUUAUUCUUUCCCAUGCAUGUCUGGCAAAUAUGCCUCGGUACCAGAUGGGUUUCACACCAAUUGGCAACUUUUGUUCCAUAUCUUAGAUACAGGUUUCAAUUCCAAGCUGUAGUAACUAUGAUAGGUUAAGACCUCACAUUACAUGGAUCUUAGGUGCUAACAUGUUUUUUAUUUAAUUAUUGCAGCUUCUCGACAUGAAGUACAGUUGCUGGUUAACCUUCUUGGUAUAUGGAAAGAAUCUGAGUACUCUGGCCACUCUAUUCCUGUUGGUGAUCUUGCUUACAUUUAACUGCACCAUCAAGGUUGGUAAUUAAUUUCUUAGCCUUACUACACUCAUGAGAAAUACUGUAUACUAUACUGUCGCAUGUUAUUCACACUGCAGUUUGGCUUAUAUUCUGGCAAAUUCAUUCCGCGCAUUUGACCAUCUGUCCUAUGUGGUCUUAUAUUGUCAGCAUGUGCUCUCUUCUCAAAGAUACGGACUGAAGUUUCUGCUUCAACGGCCAGGAUGUUGCUAAGCAGCUGAAGGUAAAACCAAUGUAAAUGCGGUUUUGUGUUGUGAGUUAGAUAUAUAACGAUAGAACCCAUAUAUAGUUUUGGGAUGGACUGUUUACACAAAAAAAUCGAAGGGUGAACAAAUGAUUGAUGUUUACACAAGGCACUCCUGCAGCCACCAAUAAAUAAUGGAACGAACAAAUGCUUGAACUUAGGUUGUCUGCUUUUGUUAAUAUACAGAUUCAUGUUGAACAAGCUCACGUUAGCCGCCUUUUCUUUUUGGCACAGAAAUAGUGGAGUGCCGUGAUAUUCACUUUCUUUUUCUCAUUUCACAGAAACAUAAUUGAAAGGAUCUCAAAACCCAUUGAUAGGUUUAUCUAACUUAUUGGUUGUAAUAACAUCCUGUAUUAUGGAGCAGAAGGAGUAUCCAGUAAAAUAAGUAACAGAAGCAAACAAUAUUGAAGAUUUUAGAAGCACCUACCAAAAGCUUCAAUAGCAAACGAUACUUCUUGUUGAGUAAACCCCAUCUGGAGCAAAGAAUGCGGUUUAUCCAUUUGCGCAGGCAGAAAUUCAGCAUUUCCCUGAAAAGGUGUCAAUUUAAAACAGAAGUAUCAGGCCUGAGGUUGCUCACAUUUGCAUAUGACUUAGUCUAACAUAUACUAGGUCUAGGUGUUAAAAGUUGAAAAAAAAAUGUAAACAUAAGCAACAAUCAUGAUAAAUUUAGCCAUCCUGUCUGAAGUUCAUACUACAGUUAUCAUCGCCCAUCAACAUGCCUGGAGAAUUAUUAUGUUGAGAGCUUGAUCAUUGAUAGAGGGCAGGCCUGGCGCAGUGGUGAAGUCCUCCCCACUUGUGCCAAGAGGUCCUGGGUUCGAACCAGCCUCUCUGCAUUGCACUUUGCAGGGGUAAGACUAGGUUCCUAUAAUCCCUCCCCAGACCCCACCUUGUGUGGGAGCUUCUAUGCACUGGGUCUGUCCUUAGCUUGAUCAUUGAUAGGUAUUUCAACCGGAUCAGUUCUCUUAUCUGGUAGGUUUGAAUAGUACUUUUCAUUUCUGUUUAUUUUCAGUUCAAAUUGCAGUGGAAGAACGAAGGAUGGAGCCAGAAGAAAUGCCGAACCCACAAGUACAACCAGCAGAUAUGUUUGAUUAGUACUUCCCAUUUAUGUUUAUUUGUUAGCAGUUCUAUGAUUUUUCUAAGACUGUUCUUGUGAUUCAUGUCCAGAAUAUCUGAUACUGGAACACCCAAGUGUGAGCGAAUGCGCUAGCUCAUGGCAACACGAGAUCGAGAUUCAGAGGUAGUAGAAACAAGAGCUACUAAAGAAAAACAAAAGGGAUCGGGAAAAUAAACCUCAGUUGUAGCUUCUUGAGCACUCACAAUCCAAUCCACGAGUUGAUCAAUUGAUGCUCCCUCACCUGAAAAGAGAUUAAACAUAUGUUGAGCAGAAAGCAUAUGGUUACUACCUUUACAUGUCGAUGCAGGAUCACAUACCUAACUCACUGGCUGCCAAAUCGACCUCUUGCUUUGAGAAGCUCAUUUUGGUCAGUAAAUACGACCUCCUUUUUGAGAAAGAAUCUAGCUCCUGCAGAAGUUAGGAACAUUCAGAAGAUUUGGACAAACGAGUUCAACACAAAGGACACAUGACAAUGACAGCGGGUACGAGGAUAUAUAUCACCACGGUAUCUCGGUCAGCUUCUAUUGUGGGCAGUGAAGGGGCACUGUUUUCUUCAUCAUCAGAAGCAAAUAGACUGCCCAAAGAAGCUGAUGAUCCCGACCCGGUGUUUCGCGAAGCCUAUAACAUCAAAGUAAAUUCGGUAUUUUUUUAGGAGCAUCGCUGGCAAGAAAAGGGAAGUAACUAAGAGCACGGCAAUGAAAGAGAAGACAAGUGAAUAGACAAGGUCCGGCUCUACCAUUUUUCUCGAUCAAAUCUGCCUCUUGGCCCUGAAAAAAGAAACGGUAACGAUGGCAUUAAUAUAGAUGCACUGCGGUGAGAGUGAGAGAUAAUGGAACAUCAGUUGGGAGACACAACACAAUGGAACAGAACAGAGUUAAAGCCAAAAAGAACACCCCCACACCCCACCGGAGCGCUUCACCAAAGAAAAGUACUCCCUCCGUCCGGAAAUACUUGUCAUCGAAAUGGAUGAAAAUGGAUGUAUCUUGAAACAAAAGCGUCUCAAACAAUCAACAAACAUGCACCGACCCUAAGCAGCAGAGCAAAACAUGCAUCGACACAAGUGAGAAGCAACCAAAACAUGAAUCCCAAUAACACCAACAGGGACCAUGCUCUUUAUCCAUCACAGGAGAUCAGCAUUCCUGAAUUGCUGCAUCUUCAUCCCUUUCCCCAGCCUGCCGGGCAAGGGCAUCUUCAUCUUCGCCAUCAGGGGUCCUGAUACAGAGCACCCAAUCUCCCGAAAUAUAUAAAUCCUAAAAGACACUAAUUUCAGGCCGUCCGGAGGCGGACCAGAGUACAAAACGCACCGCCGCCACCUCUACAUCUCGCCGGCCAAAGCUGAACAGCAAGAGCGCGAUGGCCCCGGCUCGCCUGCUCCGAUGCGGGCACACGACGACGCGGCACCGCCUCCACCGCCGUCGCGGCGCCCAGAGAAUCCUAUCGGGAAACCUACCUACCUGCAAUGCCGACGGAGAACCGGAGCUCCCCUCUCCUCCGGCCGCGAGGGCGGCAGACGGAGGAGACGACGGCCCGCCGCGGCCUCGCCGGCGGUCGAAGCGGGGGAAGAACCUUGCACCGCGGAGGGGACGAAGAGAGCGAGGGCGAGGAGAAGAUAGCAUUACCUGCCGCCGCGGAGAGGGUUUAGAGCUUUGGACGGCGGCGGCGGCGCCGGCCCCGGCGAGGAAAAGCCCUCCCCUUUUUCCUGUUUGUUUGUGCAAAGGCUCCGGGUGCGAUAGCAGAAUGCAGCCGCCCCCUUAUUUUAUUAUUACUCCCUUCGUCUGAAAAUACUUGUUCGAAAAAGAUAUAUUUUAGUUAUAGAUACAUCCAUUUCUAUGAUAAUUAUUUCCAAAUAAAGGGAGUACAAUUGAAUGUGCGAGGAAAAGCCCUUCCUUUUUAAUAGUACAAUUGAAUGUGCAAAUCGGUCCUUGAACUCUGAAGACUAUGUUUUGGAGGACCAUGUCUUCUUCUUUAUUUCUUUUCUUUUAUAUUCCUUUUCAUUCUUGAAUUUUUUUUGGAGUGCUCUAUAGGGGAGACGAACCGACGCAAUCGCGGCAAAGGGAGUGAGCGGUGGAUAACCGUGAUCCGGACAAAAGAGGGACGCUACUACGAUGAUCGUCUAUAAUGUCAUUAGCGCGAGCCCUUGCUAUAGUCGGUGAUACUUGUUUCAUCUGGCUCAUCUCACUCCUCUUUGCCUUCAGGCCCACCCACUAUUCACCUCAUUCACGACGAUGCCACUCAUCUCUUUUGUGUCAUACCCUAAUUGACAAGUUUUCUACUAACUUCGCUUACCACCUCCUCGUUUCCAAAAGUUGUACCAUAUCUUGUGUGACUGGCGAUACCAAAGCAAAUGCUAGUGAUAAAUAGACCGGUAAAUGACGCAUAUUAAGAACCAUGGAGGAGAUGAGAAACUAACCCAGUGAAUGUUGACACUUGAAGACUGGCAAAGUACAUUCUCAUUUUGUCUUGGACAUGUAUCUCUAGCCCUUGCACCUGCUCCGCUCCCGCUUUACGAUCUUUAGUACCAACCUUCAUUAGUCAAGGACACACUUUUCCUUCAUAGAGACCGAAUCAAACAACCAUAAGAUAGGAAGAAGUUUGUUCUCCGUUCCAACUAAAACAAGCGGAAGGAACUAGGAGAGCAAUACAGAACACUCAGACAAAAAUAACUAUGCUUACACUGUUUAUUGUGUGGUAAAAAAGGGCUUUAUCAAAUCACCCUAAACUAAAUAGGAAGAGCAACACCAUACACCAUGACAUUAUAAGCUCAUACCCGGUGGCAUUCGGUGAAACCCGUCAAGGGUGCGAGCUCUACCUGACCGCCGACUCUCAUCCCCCACUCGACACGGGCCACGGCAACAGUGUCGAGCGGAAGAAGGGAGUCAACAACGAAGACGUGCCGCCACUUGAGCAUUACUCUCUCUGUAAAGAAAUAUAUGUGCGUUUAGAUCUGGCCGGAGUCCAUGCCCUCAUGCCUCGGGAAAAAAAUGCAAGAACAAACGUAAGGGAAAGUAAACAUGUUUUCCGGCCGAGAAAGCGUAAACAUAGGAAAGACGCCAUCAUCUAAACCCACUCCACGAGCUCCAUCGACGACUGGUCGGAGUUUGAUCCCAUCUCUUCUGAAAUCCAAACCAAAAUUCCUUCCUUUUCUUUCUUCCUUCCGUCCGAAUCAAAGUGGCGAGGUCUCUUCCUCUCGGACCUCCCCAGCUGCGCCGGGAAGGCCCAUGGCGAUCCCCCGCCGCCGCGAGCUCCUCCUGCCUGCGGUCGCCGCCGCCCUGCUGCUGCUCCUACUCGCCGGACGCGCGGCGGCCGACGACGCCUCCAGCGACGACCGCGGCCACGACGCCUCCCCCGGCUGCAACAACAAGUUCCAGCUGGUAAAGACCCAAUCCCCAUCCAUUCUGCUCCCCGUCAGAUCUCGUCGCCCCUCCGCUCGCGAUUCGAGGAUUGGGUUCUGACUCGGAUUUUCCGAUGUCAAAUGUGGAAUCUUUCUUUCGACGUAGAGUAGAAUAGAUGCAACCCUGCUAGAUAGGAUGAGCUCUGUUGGAUUGAGACCAGAUUGAAAGAAAAUAUCUCAGCUGUAACACUUGAGCAUCAAACGAAUUAAACCAGUCUGCUGAGCAGCAACCUACAGCAUUUUCUGGAUUGUUGUUACACAUCGGAGCAGCAUGUGUCUUAGAACUGAACCCAAACCUACACUUUGUAUGCAUUGUCUGGUCCAAAUCUUAGAUGAAAACAAGACACUGCUGCACCUAGACCUAGUUUAGCCCCCCAUUCUUUCUCAUGCUUCCAGAUUUCCUUUUUCUCCAGGUUAAGGUGAAGAACUGGGUGAAUGGAACCCAGGGCACGACCGUUGUCGGACUGAGCGCGAGGUUCGGGUCCCCCUUGCCUAGAACUGUCGACGGGGCUCAGAGAACAUUUGCUGCCCUCACCAAUCCUCCAGACUUGUGCUCCAAUUCGACCUCAAAGGUUCGGGUUCGGCCCCGAUAUGACUCGGUUACUACCAAGUUGUUUUCAUAAGCAUUUUUCUAAUAUAAUCUAAACUAAUCCUUGCUGCUGCUGCAGUUGACCAAUUCUAUUGCCUUAGUGGCACGUGGAGGGUGUCCUUUCACCGCCAAGGCCGAAUUUGCGCAGGCUGCUGGUGCAGCCGGUUUGGUUAUUAUAAAUGACGAUGAAGGUAUUACCAGGACAGCCUGAGAUAUAUUGUUAUCUCUGCCCUGUUCGAUAUUUUUCUGGUAGGCAUGCCUGAUUCUCUUGCAGACAGUAAUCCGUUUGGUCAACUCUGUGUUUGCAGAGCUUUACAAGAUGGUUUGUGGUGACAAUGAUACUUCACUUAAUGUGACAAUCCCCGUCGUAAUGGUGCCACAUUCAGCAGGCAAGAAUCUGAAGGACUUACUGGAUCAUGGAGCAAAGGGUAAGUACAUAUUCUUCUUAACUCUCCUUACUAUUGUUAGCUGUUGAACUUCGUAAUUGCUACAGUAGUAGAGUUUGAUUAGUUAAACAUCUGUAGUCUCUUAUUUCUGCUUAUUUUCCUAAUAAAUUGCAAGAUCAUUUUGCAGACGAUAAUCCAUUAGUUUGACUCCAUUCUGUCUAAUCAAACGUUUUAGAAACAUUUGUUUCCAUAUUGUGUCAACUUAACUUAAAGCACGGAAUGCUUAGAAUUCAGACAAUUGCAUGCAAUUUUAAUCUAUUUUUUGUUAAUGGAAGGGAGUUAUACACUUAUACUUACCAUAACAUUGAAGUGCUUGAGCAUCUCCCUCAACCCUGCAUGUGUAUUCACAAAAUUUUGUAUUAGAAUUAUAAUUUGAAAAGUAGUUAAUGCAUAGCAAACCCAGUACCUAGACAAACUGCUGCAUUUUUAUCUAAGGCCUACGUGAUAAGCCAGACAGAUAAUUGGCUGAAAUAAGUGAUAUAGGGAAGGCGGCAGAUGGGGGAAUGAGAGAAAAAUGAUAUUUUAUUUCAUGGCAUGUCUCACCAUGUAGCCAAUAUUUGUGCUAAACAUUCAAGAAAAUGCACCAUAGAUCCUUUGUGGUAUGUGGCAGUUCCUCUAGUUAUGGUAGAGGUUCCGACCCUGGAUGCCUCAUGUGCUUGUGAAUCCAUGCUAAUAGUGUAAAUUGGUAUAAUCAUAGUCUAACUUCUUACUGAAGGACCGUCUUUGGAUCCUUAUCACAGAGCUUCUACAUUUUUUAACACAAGUCAACUACUUAAUGAUCACAUUUGUACUCAUAUGCCAUGCAUAAAUAGUGUUUUCUUGAAUGACUAAUCUAAGUCCCAUAUCUUGUGAGUUAAUUUUGAUACACCAGACUAUGCAUUGCUAAUAAGUGAAUGUUCUUUUGCUGUAGUUGAGGUGCAGUUAUAUUCGCCAAAUCGACCAGUUGUGGACCUUUCCGCAUGCUUCUUGUGGUUAAUGGCUGUAGGAACUAUAGUCUGCGCCUCACUCUGGAGUGAAUUCGUUGCAUGCGAACAGAUUGAUGAGCAUUAUAAUCAGCUGACACGGCAGGUCCUGACUUUUCUCCCUGUCCAGACUUGAUGGCAGUUCAUGCAAUUUAGCUUCUCAUAUGCAUAUACUAAUCAGUAAAUCUCGACUCAGAACAGGGAUGACUGACGAGACACUAAUAGGACUGCAGUGUAGAAUACAUGAUUGUUGUUUGAUUCCAUGUUAUCUACAGUUUUUUUAUUUCACCUUGAGUUGCAAAAAAAAUUGUUGUUAGGCACGCUUGCUACUUAUGAAUGAUUAUUAAAAUAAAAAAUAAUUUGCAUUUUAUUGUGUUUGUUUCUAGCUAAUGAGUAGUAAUUUUCAGGUUAUCACUUGGUUAAGUGUUUUUGCUAAUGAGUUUCUUCGUUUCAUACUAAACAGCCGGGACCUAAUUCUGGAACAAACAACACACAAGAUAAAGAAAUCCUUGAAAUCACAGCGAAGGGAGCUGGUGUUUUUGUGAUAGUAGCUUCAGUUUUCCUUCUCCUCCUCUUCUACUUCAUGUCGUCUUGGGUCGCCUGGCUACUGAUUGUAUUGUUCUGCAUUGGUGGUACUGAGGUAUUUCCUCGUAUAUUCUCUAUCUUUGCACUCUUUUGAUCACAAGGCCUGUCUACUUGUACAAAUACUUCUCUUGGCGCUUGGUUAUUGAAGUGCUUGUUUAGUUUUUUAUAUUGGUAUUUGGUUGUGAGUUUGUUUCUGUUUUGUGUCUUUCAGGGUAUGCAUGUUUGCUUGGUGACAAUUAUCUCUAGGUAAUGCAUGAAAUAGUUUACAUCAAGCAUUUUUUUUUCAAUGCUCUUUGUUUUAUUUAUCUCAUUGUCUGUGCCUCGUGUGCGCCUUGUUUACAGGAUUAAUAAGGAUUGGGGAAAUAAUACUGUACAAUUGCCCUUCUACGGGGAGGUCUUGGCCUUGUCUGUUGGAAUAGUACCAUUCUGUACGGUCUUUGCCAUUCUAUGGGUUGUUUAUCGGCAUUCUUCGUUUGCUUGGAUAGGCCAAGACAUCCUUGUAAGUUGAAUUGAUGAUGAUUCUUAGGUUCUCUUGCUAUGUUUCUAAUCUUUAUUUUAAUCCUUGUAAGACGGUUUUUUAUGACCUUCAGUAUUUAGUCUAUAUUUUAACCAUGCAGUCUGUAUUUGUCACAGGGUAUCUGCCUGAUGAUAACUGUGCUUCAGAUGGCGCGCUUACCUAAUAUCAGGGUAUUGGCAUGUCUAUUUGCAGUAGUCCUAACAGUUUUACGACUCCUGCAUGUAUCAGAAGUAUCUAAGGCUGUAUCUUUGCAGGUUGCAUCAGCUCUUCUUAGUGCUGCAUUUGUGUAUGACAUCUUCUGGGUCUUCAUUUCGCCUCUUAUAUUCCAUGAGAGUGUUAUGAUUGCAGUAAGUGCAUUCUUGACCUUUUACAUUUACAUCUAGAGUUAUUACCAGUUACGCUCUAGUUUUACAGGUUAAUUUACACAGUAGAUUUUCUAGUUAAAGCAAUGGAUUAGGCUUGUUUAUCCUCAUCAAAAAGAUAAAUAAAAAUGGAAUAGUCUUGCAACCACAUGACGAAGCCAUUUAAGGUAGGUGUACUUUGAGGGGGCAAGGAUUUGGUAGGUUGUAAAAUCGAGAGGAGGACAGGACAGAAUCCACUAGGGUUACUUGCUUAAAUACCUUCAGAAUUAAGAGAAUAAUGAGUAGCCUAUCUUGAAACUGAGUGGACUGUUAGAAUAUUCAGUGUUAUGAUCUAAUUUGGUGCUCUCAUGACCCAUAUAAAAUUGAUGUAUAUUGGCAGCAAAUGUUCAGACUCGAAACUGUAGUGAAAUGUUUAGCACAUGUUCUUUUUAAUGGCUUAUAAUUUGACGUUAAACAAAUACAUUAUCCAGCAAAAGCUCAUGUUUUUAGUAGCCUAUCUUAUUCUAUUAUGUGCUGUGACUUGUGAUUGAAAAUUUCAUUUUUAUUAAAACCUUCAGGUUGCUAGUGGUGACAGCUCAGGGGAAGCAAUUCCGAUGCUCCUAAGAAUACCUCGUUUCUUUGAUCCAUGGGGUGGCUAUGACAUGAUAGGCUUUGGUGAUAUUAUUUUCCCUGGAUUGCUCGUUGCAUUCAGCUACAGGUACUCUAUGCAUGUUACUCCGUUAGUUCACUAAUGGGUAUACACAUAGAAGUACUUUAAAUACUAUCUGGUAGUCUGGUCCCAUUCUUGCUAAACGCGAUGAAGGCCUUAAGACUCACACUUUUUGUUCUGAACCUUCAUUUGGGAUAACUAACUACCAUGCUGGAAGAUAGGUUGAGAUGGCGAAUAUUGGGGAGAUAAUAGAUCAAUUCUUCUUGCUAGGUUGAGAUUGAGAAUAUUAGGGAGACAAUAGACCGAUUCUUCUUGCUUAUCUUGGACAUCUUCAUAUGGUGAAUGCUUGGGCCCUUGACGUUUCGUAGCACAAUAAGAACUCUGUUUGUAUGAGAGGUUUACGCCAUUUGUUAAUGAUACAUCAUCACUUUGCUAUACGAUGCAGAUUUGACAGGGCAGGCAAAAAGGGUAUCUUGAAUGGAUAUUUUCUAUGGCUGACCGUGGGAUAUGCUGUCGGUAAGUGUGCUUGACUCAUCUUGUUCUGUAGAUAGUUCAUUGUUUGUAGGAAGCAGUACCUCUUGUGCAGAUCUCACAUUUUCAUUUUCUUUUUCCCCUUGCAGGCCUUUUCCUUACCUAUCUUGCGCUUUUCCUGAUGGAUGGACAUGGUCAGCCGGCGCUGCUGUACCUAGUUCCUUGCACGUUAGGUAAGCAUACAAAUUGUUCCUUUUGGUGCCUCGUCUUAUCUACUUACUCCCUUCCCUCAAUCAGCGCGACUGAUGCCCGUAUCGUACAUUGUCAUACCAGGGGUUAUUGUGGUGCUUGGUUGGAUAAGAGGCGAGCUGCCUCACUUGUGGAACUACGGAAGAAGACCAGAAAAUUCAGUCGGCGAAGAAGUCUGAAAUGUAACCUGACAGGAUUAUUUGUACUUGGAAACCGUUGACAUCCUUCGAUCUAAUCAGUUAAUGGAUCUCAACAUGAUGCUCCAUAUCCGUGAGAACUGUGCGGCUUCGAGGAAAUGUAAACUUAGCUGUAGCCAGAUUUGUGUUUGGUAUAGGUUGUACUUCGUCGACCUUGAAACGUGUGAGUUGAGGUUCGAUGUGGGAGUUAACUUUGUAUCAACAACAGAGAUUACAUAUUAUUUUAUAUAAGGCUGAGCUAAUGGUAUUCUAUUCUUAACAAAACCAUGAUCACCUAUGGGAGUUGAACAAUCAUUCAAACCCUAAAUUUUCAGGACAUUACAAUUUCAGAUAUAGUGGCACAUUGGGCCACCCAUGUUCAAAUAUGUGCCUGCUUGCAAACAAAAAACUGAAAGUGAUGUUUUGCCAAGAACAUCUAACUAGUUCAUUGUCCACAACUAAGUGAACUUCCAAGACGAAGAUGAGGCCAUCAUUUAAUAAUUUCUUCACAAGUUCACUCAGUAAUCUAAACUUUCAAGUUAACUAAGUGUGGAUUUGACCCCACCUGUAAAGAGGAGGCAACCAUCUAAUCAUCUCAUGAUAAUCUCUCUAAUCUGUCUGAGCAUUAUAAAUUUUGGAAUGGUAUUCUAUUCUUGCAAAAAUCAAGAUUACCUAUGGAACUGAGCAAUCAUUCAAACCCUAAAUUUUCAGGACAUUGCAAAUGCAUAUAUAGUGGCGCAUUGGGCCGCUCAUGUUCAAACAUGUGGAUGCAAACAAACUCUGAAAGUGAAUUACUAGUAGGAUCAGAUAGAUAUAAGAGCAUUGUAAAUUCUGGGUGAAGAUGAAUCAUCAUCGUCAUACAAGGAAGAAAUAAGCUCUGCAUAAUAAUAAAAUUGACACAGGAAUCACUCAUAAUGCACAAUGUGGGGAUUCAUAUUUCCACACUGGCAUCACCCGAUUAGACCCGUCUUGAGUUGAGUUUCAACCAUACAGAAAAUAAAAGCAUGCAGAACUAGCACAAGUAUCCAUCCGACUGUACAAUUGGUGUUCUUUACAGAAAACCAAACCAAAAGCAUCAUCAUCCAGUCAUCAUCAACUCCCCACAUCUAUCUGUACAGAGUUCGGGGGGUCAAAAGAGGGGGGGACCUAGCAAACUCCCGACUGCGAUUCAAAGCCGCUGCUUCAGGGGGGCGACAUCCGCUGCGACAAAAACCGGUAGAUGCGCCAUGCCACGCCACGCCAUAAUUCCUGCACUACUAAACCAAUCUUCCUCACUUUUAUACAGUUUGGGGGUGGACACCGCCUUUCGUUACAAGACAGUUAGACUCCGCGGCGGCGACUCCGAGCCUCUUUGUUGGUUAUAUAAUCU
This 57788-nucleotide long non-coding RNA is filed under the name Triticum aestivum (bread wheat). RNAcentral describes it as "long non-coding RNA (TAES_LNC013891)". Lineage: Eukaryota; Viridiplantae; Streptophyta; Magnoliopsida; Poales; Poaceae. The record is from RNAcentral.